Molecule: long non-coding RNA, 63765 nt
Filed under: Malus domestica (apple)
Lineage: Eukaryota; Viridiplantae; Streptophyta; Magnoliopsida; Rosales; Rosaceae
Description: long non-coding RNA (MDOM_LNC005303)
Source: RNAcentral
AGGAAGCUCGGAGUGCUUCGUUGGAAGUUUUUGGACGUAAGAACACGGAGAUCGACAAGUUCAAAGUUUGGCCGGAGCUUUCGAGGCUUUUUCCGGCGAAUCCCCGGCGAGUUAGGAGUCAAGGUAGGUAUCAAUCUCUUCGUCUCGUCAAGUACUACAACUUUCCUUUUUGUUUCACUCAAUUUCGUUGAGUAUUGAAGAAGUUAUACUCAUUUGAAAAAUACCCAGUUUCCGACGACCUCCGAGGCUUUCGAGGCAGUUUCCGGCCAAACCACGGCGAACUAGGUGUUGUACAAGGUACCAUUAUCUUUGUCUCUUCAAGGGCUACAACUUUCAUUUUUGAAUCACUUGAUUUCGUUGAGAAAUGACAAAGUUAUGGCAAUUUGAAAAACGGCCGCCGGAAAAACCAGUCCGGCGACCCAAGGAAGAAGAAGGUGCGCGUGGGGGCGCGUGCUACAGUAACAAAAUAUUUUAAAAAUAUGUCGACGUCCGUGACGGAGUAGAUCUCUGUGGUAUAUUCAUAUACCCAAUUUGAGCACCGUAUGAGAAAGUUAUUAAGGAUUGUUGGUUAGGUGUUCGAAUAACGUUUUAUAGUUUUGGUGAAAAUGUGAAUUGAUGAUCCGACCGUUGGAUCGUCACCAAAAUUUGAUACGUUGUAAUACGUAAUAUUUGAGGAUUAUAGGAACUUACAGAUUGGGAAUCCGAUUUGCGGAUCUUCCGAAAUUGGAGUUGUAAGUCCAUAAUAUAGAAUGUUAACUGUCACUUAGUUUUGGAAAUUGACGGAGAUCCAACCGUUGGAUGGUAAUGAAAUUUUAGGAUGUUAUCCUAGAGAUAUAUUGUGGACCUCUGGAAGUUAUGGAUUUAAAAUCUGAGUGGCAGAUCUUCCGGAUCGAACUACGUAGUGACGUAUUUUAUAUAAGUUAUAUAUUCUAUCGAUAUGAAUUCUGAGGUUGGAUUUGAUUACUAUUCUAGGCGGCGAUCGUCGUGACGCCUUGAUGUGUGGUGCUAGGGAGUUGUUGGACGAACUCCAGGUGAGUGGGCAGUUUUGUUUUCCGUAUACAUAUAUACUUGCCGUUUUCCCAGAAAUUGAAAAUGCAUGAAAUUAUGCUUUUAAUGAAAAUGUAUAAAAGUAUAUGAGAUAUAUUAGUUGAAAUGCCAUGCAUGAAAGUAUAUGAAAAGUAGAUAGAAAUGUGAAUCGAAUUGCCAUGCAUGAAAUGAUAUGGAAAGUAUGAAUUGAUAUAUGAUGCAUAUGUAUGAAUUGGUGCGGCGGACGCACAGGUGAGUAUCAGGUGAGUAUUUAAAUAUUGUUAUGAUGAUGUUGAUAUAUAUUGAGCUAAAUCCUGCACCAUGGUUUAGUGCUUAUAGUAUUCACCGCAUCGCACGCUCGCCUUGGAUCCAAGUAGAUGCUGGUCGCACAGUCCACGCGGAGUGGGUGCGACGGGCCAGUCGAAGAGUGUUAGUGAGAUUUCGACUGGUGGGUGACCUUAGAUUAUGUGCACAGAUGAUUGAUGAGAAAGCACUAGAGCGUAACUUGUGUGCAGAAGGCCGGACGGGUCACAGAGGUGACUCCGGUAGAGUGAUAGUGAUAGAUUUUGAGCUCUAGGUUCAACCGUACAGGGCUAUUAGAGGGCCUCCGGUUGAUUACUUUCUUGCACCUGAUAUGAUUAUUGUUGAUGCAUCCAUACUUAACUGUUGAAUUAGACAUGGCAUGGCAUGAUUGAUAAAGAAAAAAUGUUGAGUUAAUGAAUCGAAGUAUUGAGAAUAUAUAUGUAUAUUUAUAUUUUACAUUUCUGGGAAAGUAUACAGGUUUUACGGAGAGAGGUUACAACGUUUUGAGAAAUGUUUGGAUUUGGAAAGAAUUGUUUUACUGACCCACUCAAUUUUGGUUUUGCGCCCCUCCAGGUUAAAGAAUAGCUGAGGUGUGGUGGCUACGAGGAAUUCAACGGGGUUCUGACAGAAUGGAUCAAAUUAGGACUCACCUUCGGGUGUAUCAACUUAUAAAUUGUAUAAUUAAAGCUUCCGUACUGUGCAAAUGGUUACGUCACUCUCACGUGACGGCCAGCAUGCCCUCCUUCGGGACGGGGUGUGUCAGUUGGUAUCAGAGCAUGGUUGCAAUCUUGGACAUCUUGAGAAGUUCUAGUGAAUUCUGUCAGAACUACACCGCCUCGUAGCAAGCCACUUAGUUAGAGGAAUUUAGUCUCCCUAAUAUAGCGGUUUAGGGAAAACUAUUAUUAUGGUGAUUCAGUCUAUUAUAAAAAGGGACAUUUUAAGACGGGUUAUGAGUUGAAUUUGAAUCACCUUAUGAAAUGAUGAACCUGAGGGAGCGAAGUAACGGUUUAACCAUUUGGAAAAGAUGUUUCAGAUUAUGCAAGUCAAAGGAAUCUUCCUUCUGACAGGGGGUCGAGACGAUUACCUGGUUUUGGGUAUGAAUUUGUAUCCUGGUGGAAACAGGAGUAUGAUUUGUUGUCACCGGAGGAACAGCCGAUUUAAAAUUGUUUAAGGACUUGUUUAAGGAAAAGUUUAUCCCUCCGGCAUUUAUCGAUGAUAGUAAGCAAGAGUUUGCAAAUGUGAAUCAAGGAAGUUGACGAUAAAUGGAUAUUAUAGAAAGUUUUCAGACUUGCCUCGUUCCAUCCAGAUAUUGUUGUUAAUUUGGUAGAGGUGUUAUGUUGUUUUAAGCUGGGUGGCAAAAGGGAAGUGGUAUUUUGGGUGACCAUUAUCCAUUGUAGUUCUUAUCAGGAGUAUGCGAGAUGCUGUUGAGCCUUGAGGACUCUAAGAACAUGAGCAACGAGAAUAAAGAAGAAUAAGAAAUGAAUGGGAAUCAAAAGAAGACGAUAAAGUUUAUGAUUCGUCAUAUCAAGGAUAUAGAAAGAUUCAGAGCUUCGAAAGAAGUGAAGCUAGAGUUAAUUCUUCCAGCUGAGGUUUUAAUGUCGCUGGUCAGAAUAAAAGUGAUGGAUAUACUGGUAAUCCCAGAUAUUUGAGACAAGGUGUCUCGAGUAAAGGAAAUGUACCUUGUGCAGCAGGUACAAAAAAUUAACACUUUGGGAAGUGUGAAAUUAAUGAAUGUGUUUAUGUGAACAGAGGGGACACAGAAUUGUGAAUCGUCCCUAGAAUCAGUUGUACUCAACAAUUUUCCAUGAUAUCAUAGUGUCGAUUCAGCAGAGUUAUGGACUUAGUAGUUUGGUCGGAUUGACCGUGAGUACAGAGAGAUUUGAUGAGUUAUAUGUUCAGCCGUACAGACCAUGAGAAGUGGAUUCGAUUGACACAUGAGAAAUUUGUGAGUUAUAGGCUCAGCCGUACCGACCACGCGGAGUGGAUCCGGCCGACGUAUUAUUGAGAUAAGAGUUGAAUCAACCGUAUUGGUCAUUCUAGUUGACUUCGGCUGAUAUAUUUCUUAUUAUGUAUGAUAUUACCUAGAGAGUGGUAAAUAAAUGUAGUUGAGACGAGUGUAUGUAUUUUGCAUUGAGUGACAAAAUAGUAAUGUUAUAUCUUUUUUAGUGGUUGCCUACUUAUCGAGACAACGAUGAUUUAUCAGUAUUGCGGGCUGCAGACCGUAAUAUUAAUAACUCAUUCGUGGAUUCGUUAAGCAAGCAAACCGGUAGGUUAUUUUAUGUUAGUGUUGUACUUAUUUAGAAUGUUCAGUAUUAAUAAAGUAUGUAUUGUGUCGGUUAAAUUAUUUCCAUUAGAUUGGUUGGUUAUAAUUGUGACUAAAUGGACUGUUAUGGGAAACCAGUCACUUUCCAUCGAUCUGGAUGACCAGAGAUUACUUUUGUAAGUAUGCAAAGUGGAUUGAGUCAGGCCGUUAUUUAUGCUGUGAGAGCAAAGAGAUUGUUUUCGAAAGGCUGUCAAAAAAAUACUUAGCUCAUGUGGUGCUAAAUGAUGUUGUUUGGAGUAGUGUGAAUAAUGUCGAAAGAGUUAGACUUUUCUUGAUGUCUUCCCUGAAAGUAUACCUGGAUUGUCUUCAAGCAGAGAUAUGAGGUUCAUUAUUGAUUUGUUGCCAGGUAUAAAUUUAUAUUGGAGAUCAGUUCAUGAUGAGUUAAGAAAAUUGGAAAUUUAGUUGAAAGAAUUGGUUGACAAAAGUUUCAUUCAACCUAGUACAACACUUUUGAGGAGCCCCAGUUUGUUGGUGAGGAAGAAAAUGGAUCUUGAGACUGUUCAUUGAUUAUAGACAAUGGAGUCGGGUAACGAUUGAGAACCGUUAUCCAUGGUGAUGUAUUGAUGUUUAUUUAACCAGCUCAGAAGUAAUGGCGAAGAUUCAAAGAUUGAAUUGAGAUCUGGUUACUACCAAUUGAAUAUUAUAAGUGACGUUGAUCAUAAGAUGGUUUUCUGGACUCGUUAUAGUCUUUAUGAAGUUUGGUGAUGCUAUAUGGAUACUCAUGCUGUUUUAUGAGUUGAUGGAUGAAGUAUUCCAAUAAUGCCUUGAUAAAUUGAUAUCAUUUUCAUUGAAGAUAUUCUGGCAUAUUCUGAGCCAGAGCAGAGCAUGUAAACGUAUUAAGUCGGUGAAACAAAGAUUGGAAGAAUGUCGAUUGUAUGCUAAGUUUAGCAAAUGCUAAAGUUAGAUGAAUCAGGUGGCAUUCUGAGAUUUGUUAUAUAUUCUUAAGGUAUUCAAGUGAAUCCUUAAAAGAUAGCAGAAAUUGAGGAAUUGGAACAACCACGAACUGUAAUUGAGAUUCAGAAUUUCUUAGCUUACCAGGCUAUCUUGGAUGGUUGUGAAAGAUUUUUCAGUCAUUGCUUUGUCAUUGACGAGACUGUUGAGAAAAGAGGUUAUGUAUGAGUGGGAAGGAAAUUGUGAGCAAAUGAUUCAACAACUGAAGUAUUUCCUCACUCAUGCACGUAUUUUAGUAAUCCCAGAGAAUAGUGGUAAUCAUAAAUUUUUAGUGCUGUUUCUUGAAUGGUAUUGGAUGCAUGUUGAUGCAAAUGUUAGGGUGAUUGCAUACGUUUCACGACAAAUGGAAUCUCAUGAGAUGAAUUACCCUACUGGUGAUUUGGAAGUCACGAUUACCAUCCUUGCUGUGAAGUUAUGGAGACAUUAUAUUUUAGUGAGAAUGCAAGAUUUUUUUUACGAAUCCAAAAAGUCUUCAAUAUCCAUUACUUGGAAGGAUUUUGAUAUGAGGCAGCGAAAGUGAAUUGUAUUGCUUAAUGAACAUGAUUGAACGAUCAGAGUGAUCAUAAAGUUUGUUCUAGCUGAAGCAUUUGGUGAGAAGACUACAGUAAGAUUAAUGUCUGGCACGUUUGCCAAGAGUAUCAUCUUGUGGAUUGAAACCAACGGAAGAAAAAUUAAGAAUGGAAGAUCGAGAAGAAGUUAUACUUGUUAAAUUUCAAGUUAGGCCUUUUGGUAAGGUCGUACUCGAGACUCAAAUGGUAUGUGAAUACAAGCAAACGAAAAGUAUGUGCCUAAUGCUGUGGGUUUAAAGCAAACAAUUUUGGACGAAGUACACUGUUCAGCUUCUGCAAUAUUCCGAAGGUAAUAAGGUUUAUCAUACCAUUCGACAUUUUUAUUGGUCAGCAGAUUGAGGCAGAAAGAAAUAAACCUUUGGAUUGAGACAGCUAUUUUCUGUUUCGAAACGGAAAUGGAAAGAGAAUUGGAUUACGGAACUGCUGAGUUUCUUAAGUAUGUUGGGUGUGCAGUUUCCGAAAUAACGCCAUAGGGUCCCUGAAGCGUGUCGUGUGAAUGAAAUGCUUCUGAAUAGAGAAAGAUUCGAUCAAGAAAGAGUUUUAGUAGACCCUGAGACUAUGGAUGAGUCUCCUCAAAGUAUUCAGGUGAUUAAGUUUAACCUGAAGGUAGCCAGGAAUGGCAAAAGAGACUAACAGAUGGAUAUGCCAUUAAUCGAGUGUGUAAGGUAAAUGGUUUGAUAUUUUUGGAAAUUUCACCAUGAACAUAAAUAGUAAGAUUCAGAAAGGGAGACAAGAUAAGUCUUGAACACAUCAGUCCGUUUUGAUCAUUAAAGGAAUCGACGAAGUUGCAUACAAGUUUGUGAUGCCUUCAGAAUUGGCUAAGGCACAUAAUGUAUUUUGUGUUCGAUGCGUUGUCACUAAGUGGCAGAGUCGUUACAUGGGACUUUGGUGCAACUAUUGAGAAUUAAGCCGGAUCUGAUUGGUGAGGAACCAAUGACGACUUUGGAUUGGAAAAAGAAGGUCCUGAGAAUUAAGACAGAGUAAGUAGUAAAAGCUUUGUGAAGGAAUCAUUCAGUAGAAAAUUAUGUGGGAGAAAGAGAAUCGGAUGAGACAGAUUUACCCGUAGCUAUUGUUGGAGUAUGGUUGAUUUAGUUGGUUGCUGGAAUUUCGGGGACGAAAUUCUAUAAGGAGGGAAGAUUGUCACAGCCCGUCCCGGAAUUUUAAUUCUGAGAACGUGAAAAGACGAAAAUGCCCUUAAACGGGAGUAAGGGGCGAAAAUUUAACAAUUGGGAUUGAGUUGGACACGUGGGAUCCCCACAUCCCUCAAAACCUUCCCCAAUUCCCGUACCUUGUCACUCUUUCUCUCCUCCCUCACGAAACUCUCAGUUUUCUCUCCCUCUCCUUCGAACUCACACGGACAAGCUCCAAAACCACCCUAAACUUCUACCAACGACAGAGUUAAGACCACCAUCAAACUCCUGGAACCUCCACGAUCACGAUGGUAUCCAUUUCAGGUAAGUUUUGCUUCGGAAAACCCUAGUUUCAAAGUUCCCGUGAAAUGGUACCGUUCAUGAUCUUCUAAAUGACUACGUUUUAGGCUAAAACAAGAUCACAGCGAGCUUAGUGAGGUCCCAAGGAAGCUCGGAGUGCUUCGUUGGAAGUUUUUGGACGUAAGAACACGGAGAUCGACAAGUUCAAAGUUUGGCCGGAGCUUUCGAGGCUUUUUCCGGCGAAUCCCCGGCGAGUUAGGAGUCGAGGUAGGUAUCAAUUUCUUCGUCUCGUCAAGUACUACAACUUUCCUUUUUGUUUCACUCAAUUUCGUUGAGUAUUGAAGAAGUUAUACUCAUUUGAAAAAUACCCAGUUUCCGGCGACCUCCGAGGCUUUCGAGGCAGUUUCCGGCCAAACCACGGCGAACUAGGUGUUGUGCAAGGUACCAUUUGAAGAAGUUAUACUUUUCAAGGGCUACAACUUUCGUUUUUGAAUCACUUGAUUUCGUUGAGAAAUGACAAAGUUAUGGCAAUUUGAAAAACGGCCGCCGGAAAAACCAGUCCGGCGACCCAAGGAAGAAGAAGGUGCGCGUGGGGGCGCGUAGGUCCGUGCCUUCCUUGGCGCAUGGGGGCGCGUGCUACAGUAAAAAAAUAUUUUAAAAAUAUGUCGACGUCCGUGACGUCGAGUAGACCUCUGUGGUAUAUUCAUAUACCCAAUUUGAGCACCGUAUGAGAAAGUUAUUAAGGAUUGUUGGUUAGGUGUUCGAAUAACGUUUUAUAGUUUUGGUGAAAAUGUGAAUUGAUGAUCCGACCGUUGGAUCGUCACCAAAAUUUGAUACGUUGUAAUACGUAAUAUUUGAGGAUUAUAGGAACUUACAGAUUGGGAAUCCGAUUUGCGGAUCUUCCGAAAUUGGAGUUGUAAGUCCAUAAUAUAGAAUGUUAACUGUCACUUAGUUUUGGAAAUUGACGGAGAUCCAACCGUUGGAUGGUAAUGAAAUUUUAGGAUGUUAUCCUAGAGAUAUAUUGUGGACCUCUGGAAGUUAUGGAUUUAAAAUCUGAGUGGCAGAUCUUCCGGAUCGAACUACGUAGUGACGUAUUUUAUAUAAGUUAUAUAUUCUAUCGAUAUGAAUUCUGAGGUUGGAUUUGAUUACUAUUCUAGGCGGCGAUCGUCGUGACGCCUUGAUGUGUGGUGCUAGGGAGUUGUUGGACGAACUCCAGGUGAGUGGGCAGUUUUGUUUUCCGUAUACAUAUAUACUUGCCGUUUUCCCAGAAAUUGAAAAUGCAUGAAAUUAUGCUUUUAAUGAAAAUGUAUAAAAGUAUAUGAGAUAUAUUAGUUGAAAUGCCAUGCAUGAAAGUAUAUGAAAAGUAGAUAGAAAUGUGAAUCGAAUUGCCAUGCAUGAAAUGAUAUGGAAAGUAUGAAUUGAUAUAUGAUGCAUAUGUAUGAAUUGGUGCGGCGGACGCACAGGUGAGUAUCAGGUGAGUAUUUAAAUAUUGUUAUGAUGAUGUUGAUAUAUAUUGAGCUCAAAUCCUGCACCAUGGUUAGUGCUUAUAGUAUUCACCGCAUCGCACGCUCGCCUUGGAUCCAAGUAGAUGCUGGUCGCACAGUCCACGCGGAGUGGGUGCGACGGGCCAGUCGAAGAGUGUUAGUGAGAUUUCGACUGGUGGGUGACCUUAGAUUAUGUGCACAGAUGAUUGAUGAGAAAGCACUAGAGCGUAACUUGUGUGCAGAAGGCCGGACGGGUCACAGAGGUGACUCCGGUAGAGUGAUAGUGAUAGAUUUUGAGCUCUAGGUUCAACCGUACAGGGCUAUUAGAGGGCCUCCGGUUGAUUACUUUCUUGCACCUGAUAUGAUUAUUGUUGAUGCAUCCAUACUUAACUGUUGAAUUAGACAUGGCAUGGCAUGAUUGAUAAAGAAAAAAUGUUAAGUUAAUGAAUCGAAGUAUUGAGAAUAUAUAUGUAUAUUUAUAUUUUACAUUUCUGGGAAAGUAUACAGGUUUUACGGAGAGGGGUUACAACGUUUUGAGAAAUGUUUGGAUUUGGAAAAGAAUUGUUUUACUGACCCACUCAAUUUUGGUUUUGCGCCCCUCCAGGUUAAAGAAUAGCUGAGGUGUGGUGGCUACGAGGAAUUCAACGGGGUUCUGACAGAAUGGAUCAAAUUAGGACUCACCUUCGGGUGUAUCAAUUUAUAAAUUGUAUAAUUAAAGCUUCCGUACUGUGCAAAUGGUUACGUCACUCUCACGUGACGGCCAGCAUGCCCUCCUUCGGGACGGGGUGUGUCAUUUUAGGUGUUUGGUGAACUAAAAAAAAAAAGCUUAUUUUGGAAGCUGUUGUGAGAAUAAGCUGAAAUCAAAGGAAAAGCUGAAAUUGCUAUUUGCAGCUUUGGAAAACUGGCUUUUUUUUAAAGCACACGGAGCUACAAUGCUCCUUUAAUGAAAAGACUCACUAUCAGACUGUUUUUUUUUCAAAAGCACUUUUACAAAAAAAUUUACCAAACACUCUGUUGAUUUAUUUUACAGCCGUUUAUUCUCACAGCAGUUUUUUUUCAAAGCAUAACAAUACCAAACUAGCCCUUAAUUUUUUAAUUCAAUGGAAUAUUGGGAUUGAAUUAUUUACAAAUAAUUAACAUUAUAUAUUGUUUAGAGAAUGGUUAUUUAGCAAUUAAGCAUGAUUUUAUUUGAUUUUGCAUGAUGCGGGCUUUGAGUUUUAGCAACGUGUUUCACGGGCUUUGAGCUUUAAAGAAAACCUCAGUUAGUUCACUAUCUUGAGGACUCUCCCAGACUCAGACUGAAUCUUCUCUCCUCAAUCCUCCCUCUCGUAUCUCGAUCUCUCUCUUCCAGAGUCCAGGCUGACUCUCAUCCCUUUCGAUUCUUGGUUUUUCUGUCGAACUCGAAGGGACGAACGACAAAGUCAAUCUCUCUCUCUGUUGAACUUGAGGGGACGAACGAUGAAGUCGAACAACUUGAAACGAUGAAUCAGUCAUGUCCUCCAUCUGACUCAGACUCAUAUUUGCAGGGAAUCCGAGCUCUGUUGACGGUCAUUUUCAGUUUCGAGGUAUUAUGUUUUAGGGAUUUUGUUGGUUUCUUGAAUCUUGACCUCUGUUCUGUUUCAAUUUCAGAUCUUUUGUUGAAUUGAAUUUGAAUCUUCUGUUGGGUAUUAUUGAGAUUAUAUUUGGUUGAUUAGUGGAAUGUGUUGGUAUAUGGUCCAGCCCAUGAUGAAUGUUCUAGAUUAUUCUAGUAAGCAAGUGAGGUGGCUGGAGCAUGCUAGACAAUUCUAGCAUGUUAUUAAGUUGAUGGAAGAAGUUAGAGAGUACUAGCUUCCUUAGUUGCAAAUGGAAAGAUCUAGAAGCUACAAUUUUGUUGCUAGUCUAUAAUUAUCUAUGCUAGAGGAUUGAAGAAUACAAUAGAAACUAGUAGAAUGCCAAACCCUCACCUAUAAAUAUGGGUGUGAUGUUGUAGUGAAGUAACCAAUUAAGAACCAAGUGUGAGUAGCAAAGGAUCAAGUCCAAAGCUAGAGUUCCACUCCAAGAGUGAGAGUAAAAGUGUUCCACUACACAUUGUGAGUGAAGUUUAGAGUGAUAGAAAGUGUGUGUCAUACUUUCUUGUAUCCAUCAAGCCUUGUCUUUGGCUUGGUAAGACUACUCUUGUUGUACUCAUAUUUUUCAUAUAGUGAAGAUUGAUCAUUUGUUUAGUGGACGUAGGCAUAAAUUGCCGAACCACAUAAAUUCUUGGUGUCCAUUUUCUACUUUACCUUGUGUUGAUGCACAAAACCGGAGGUCUUGGAACAACGUAAAUCCGACCGUGAAUUCUGCACAAACGCUCAAGAACACGAAGAACACAAAGAACACAAGGAUUUUAUCGUGGUUCACCCCAAUGUUUGGGCUACGUCCACACUGUAGUUGAUUCUGUUUCUCUGUAAUUGUAUGGAUACAAGUGUUUGGGGGAAGUCCCCCGGAGGAGAAAGAAGAGAAGGGAGAGGAGAGCCUCGGUAGUGUGAGGUCUCUCCUGAAUGUAAUGAUAGCUUCUCUUAGCCUUCUUAGGCUUGGCUCUUUUGCCUCCCUUAGAAUGAGGGGAGGAGUCCCCUUUUAUAGAAUAAGGGGCUCCUCCUCUUUUACAAAGUAUGGGCUUUAGUGUGAGGCCCAAAUACAAGGCCCAAGGCCCAAAUAUACGAGGCCCAAUAUAUGGUACCAACAGGAGUCCCCCAAGUCUUCAGUCAAGAGAGUCUUUUGGCUGGAGACUUCAAAUUCAGUCCAUGUGUGGGCCGAAGUGACUAGAUGUUGUCCAGAACCAGUGCUCAACAUGAAGCAACGCUUAACAUAAAGUAAUACUCAGCUAGAGGUAGCACACGUUACGAGGUUGCCCGGCCGGAGGUGAUGCCCGUUGCGAGGCUGCUUGGUUAGAGGCUUACGCUCGCGGUGAGAACUUGCUUGGUUAGAGGCUUAUGCUCGCAGCGAGAGGUUGCUCGGCUGGAGUCGAUGCUCAUUGCAAGGUUGCUUGGCUAGAGGCUUAUGCUCGCGGCGAAAGGUUGCUCGGCCGGAGUUGAUGCCCAUUGCCAGGUUGCUCAGUAAGAGGCUACGCUCGCAGCAAGGCGGCUCGACUCGUGGCAUUCCUGGUUGCAAGUACGUACUUUAUGUCAAUGUGCACUCAGUAUGAGUUGAUUCUCGACCUGACUAGGGUCUGUAAGUUGGGUCUGAUUUUGUAAGUGCCCAAAAUGAAUGGUGUCUGAGCCCAUGGGUGUCCAAGCAAAUGGAUGUCCUGGUUGGGUAAGAGAUCAAUGUUGAUCAGUAGAGCUGGUUGCUCGAUAAUUCCUGACAAUAAAUGACAGCAUAAGUCUGAUUGUAUAAAUCAAUAACGUGGUAUUAAUCAUGUAAUAUAAAAAAUAAUAAUCAUAUUAUUUAAUCAUGAGUCAUCAUGAUAUAGAAAUAAUAUAAUCAUUAUUUUAUAAUAAUUAUAAUCAUCAUGACGUAAAAAUAAUAAAAUAUUUAAAGGAAAAGAAUAUUAUCCCUGUGUUUUCGGUGGAGGCAUGGUGGAGACAUAGUGAUGAUAGCGGGACUAUCCCACUAAAUUUCUGUUCCCCACUUUCUUUUUUAUUCUUUUCUUUUUCUUUUUUUUUUCUUUUCUUUUCUUUUUCUUUUUCUUUCUUUUUCUUUUUUCUUUUUUUUUUCUUUUUCUUCUUUCUUUUCCUGGUGCUAUGGCCGACACCAGUGGGAUUUUUCCCACCAAACCUGUUCCACUUUCUCUUUUUACAGGUUUAGUGGAUGAUUGCUGCCUUCUAGUGGAUGACUCCAAUUGAGUUGAUUCUUUCUGUUUCCCACUCUCUCUGAGAAAAAAAAUCACAGUGCCUCUCUCUCUGACCGUCCCCCUACGGCCCUCCGGUUCGCCGCGCGAGUCACUCUUUAACUCGCUGACCCAGUCACUGAGCUCAGCUUCAUCCUCAAUCAGACUCUUCGAAGCUCCACCAACUCUUCGUAGGCACGUGGCAACUCGGACCCCGACCUAGUCCUGGAGCCCCGGAACGCCUCGUCGACGUCCUUGCUGUUGAGCAGGUUGAUCGCCAGCUUCAGUCCAUGCGCCACCAGCGACGAGAACAGGAAGAAGCUGAAGGAAACGGCCUCCCCUCCGCAGCCAUCUCCGCCAUUUCGGCCACCGCCUCCGCUGAUACUAUCUUCAUUCUAGAACAGUCCUGAUCCUCUGUACUCAGCCUCGUCGAGUACGUCACCCCGCCUCCUAUCUGAGAGCUCAACCUAGCGCGCGGUCGGAGCUGGCAGUGGACCUAAUGGUGCGGCGAACCUUGCCGUGCGCGUAGCGGCACUCGCUUCCGUGGCCACAGGUUUUGGCCUCACGCCUGAAAAAGGAGCAGAGGCUGGUCUUCCAUACUUCAUGCAGUUUUGGUGCUCAUGGAUUGCCCAACAUGUUGUGUUUGUGUAGUAGGGAGCCUCUGGAUUUGGAACCCAUCAGAACAGAAGAAUUGGAAAGCUGAUUUCCCUGAAAAGAGCCCAGAAAACCCAGUGUCGCAGCCCAGGUCGAAGCUGCUGUGGCGGCUGUGGAGGGUCGAGAGAGAAGAGGGUGGAGGUGGCGAGUUGGGCCUGGAGCUCCGGGAGCUUGGCCUGGUAUUAAGGCCCAUUUUGGAGCAACGGUACACAAUCUGCCCCUUUUUGUUCAGUCAGAUUUUGAAGUUUUGGAUGAGUGGGUUAGUGAUCUGAGCAUAUCUACGGCAAAGAUCUGAUGAAUUCCGAGGAUGAGAGAAAGGUAGAGUGUUUGUGGGUUUUUUUUCUGCGAGUGGUGCAGAUUCACGGUGGUGAAAAUGAAAAAUUGAGGAAGAGAACCGACAUAGCUUUUUGUGUCGUUUCCCACAGACGGCGCCAAAUGUUGAUGCACAAAACCGGAGGUCUUGGAACAACGUAAAUCCGACCUUGAAUUCUGCACAAACGCUCAAGAACACGAAGAACACAAGGAUUUUAUCGUGGUUCACCCCAAUGUUUGGGCUACGUCCACACUGUAGUUGAUUCUGUUUCUCUGUAAUUGUAUGGAUACAAGUGUUUGGGGGAAGUCCCCCGGAGGAGAAAGAAGAGAAGGGAGAGGAGAGCCUCGGUGGUGUGAGGUCUCUCCUGAAUGUAAUGAUAGCUUCUCUUAGCCUUCUUAGGCUUGGCUCUUUUGCCUCCCUUAGAAUGAGGGGAGGAGUCCCCUUUUAUAGAAUAAGGGGCUCCUCCUCUUUUACAAAGUAUGGGCUUUAGUGUGAGGCCUAAAUACAAGGCCCAAGGCCCAAAUAUACGAGGCCCAAUAUAUGGUACCAACACCUUGAGUAUUCUCUAUCUUGUAGUACCGAGAUUCCUAACAAGUGGUAUCAGAGCCCGGUUGGCUCGUACUACGAGAUGGAAGGAAGUGGCAUUAUAAUCAAACUCACCAACUCCAAUUGGGUAACAUGGAAGCCAAGGAUGGAGGACAUUCUCUAUUGCAAGGAUCUGCAUGAGCCAAUUGAAGGAGAUGCCGCUAAGCCCGAGAGCAUGUCCGAUGCCGAGUGGAAGAAGAUGAAUCACAAGGCUAUUGGCACAAUUAGACAAUGGGUGGACGAUAGUGUUUUUCACCAUGUAUCUAAUGAAACCAAUGCCCGCGAGUUUUGGACAAAGCUUGAGUCCUUGUUCGAGAAGAAGACCCCAGCCAAGAAAGCAUUCUUGAUCAAAGAGCUCAUCAAUGUGAAGUACAAGGAUGGUUUAAGUGUAGCAGAACACUUGAACAAAUUCCAAAAUGUCAUCAACCAGUUGGCUACUAUGAAAAUGACGAUUGAAGACGAGCUACAAGCGCUCUUGUUACUUGGAUCCUUGCCAGACAGUUGGGAGACCUUUGUGGUAAGUAUAAGUAACUCUGCUUCUAAUGGUGUUCUUACUCUUGAUAAUUUUAAAAAUAGCUUGCUCAAUGAAGAAACAAGGAGAAAGACUUUAGGCACAUAUAGCAGCUAAAUAUUUGUCACAGAGAACCGCGGAAGAAGCAAGAGUAGAGGGCCUAGAGGCCAUGGCAGGAGUACUAGCCGAUCCAAGUCAAGGUUCAGGGGUGCAUGCCACCAUUGUGGCAAAGAAUGCCAUAUGAAGAAAAAUUGUCGAGUUUGGAAGAGAGAGCAAAGGAAAGGAAACAAUCAGAAGAAAGAUGAUACUGGUAAUACCAUCGCUGUCAUAUGUGGUGAUGUACCAGAAAUAUUAUCUGUUGGUGAAUGUCUGCAUACGGGCAACUCUGAUAGAGACACUGAAUGGAUCUUUGACAAUGGAGCUUCCUUCCAUGCUACGUCCAAACGGGAGUUCUUUAGUACAUACAAAGAAUGUGACUUUGGCAUAGUGAGGAUGGGGAAUGAAAGUUAUUCCAAAAUACUUGGAAUUGGUGAUAUUUGCCUAAGAACUAAUCUCGGUUGCCAGUUGAUGUUGAAAUAUGUGAGACAUAUUCCUGAUAUACGUCUCAAUCUGAUAUCCAUCGGUACCCUUGAUCGACAAGGUUAUUAUCAUCAUAUUGGCGAAGGAAAAUUGAAGCUUACUAAAGGUUUAAUGGUGGUAGCAAGAGCACGACUUUGUUGUACAUUGUACCGGUCAAAUGCCAAAGUUUUAAAAGGUGAGUUGAAUGCUGUGGAGGACUUAUUUCUAGACUUGUGGUAUAAGAGGCUAGGCCACAUGAGUGAGAAAGGCCUACAAGUUUUGGCAAAGAAGUCUCACAUUCCAUUUACCAAAGGUACGUCAUUAAACUCUUGUGAGCAUUAUUUAUUCGGAAAGCAAAUAAGAAUUAUCUAAGUCCUUUGACAUGAAGGACUUAGGGCCAGCCAAGCAGAUUUUGGGCAUGGAGAUAAUUCGUGACAGAAAAUCCAAGAAGUUGUGGCUGUCACAAGAAAAGUAUGUUGAACGGGUGCUUGAAAGGUUCAACAUGAAAGCAGCCAAAUCGAUAAGCUCACCUUUAGCCAAUCAUAUCAAGUUGAGCAAAGAGUCGUGUCCAAAAACAUAUGAAGAAAAGGAGAAAAUGGCAGUUGUUCCCUAUUCUUCAGUAGUAGGAAGUAUCAUGUAUGCAAUGGUGUGCACACGACCAGAUAUUGCUCAUGCAGUAAGUGUGGUGAGCAGGUUUCUCUCUAAUCCAGGGAAGGACCACUAGGAAGCUGUUAAAUGGAUUCUUAGAUAUUUGAAGGGGACUUCUAAGAUGUGCUUGUGCUUUGGCGGUUCCAAACCAAUCUUGGAAGGAUUUACAGAUGCUGACAUGGGAGGUGACCUGGAUGGUAGAAAAUCUACGUCUAGGUACUUGUUUACUUUUGUAGGGGGAGCCGUGUCUUGGCAAUCCAAGUUACAAAAGUGUGUUGCUUUGUCCACAACCGAGGCUGAAUACAUAGCCGCUACAAAAGCAUGCAAGGAGUUGUUGUGGCUGAAGCGGUUUCUCCAAAAGUUGGGUUUGAAGCAAAGUGAUUAUGGCGUUUAUUGUGAUAGUCAGAGUGCUCUGGAUUUGAGCAAGAACACUACAUAUAAUUCACGCACUAAGCAUAUUGAUAUUCGUUAUCACUGGAUUAGAGAUGCUAUCGAGAACAAGUUACUACAGCUGAAGAAUAUUCAUACCGAUAAUAAUUCUUCAGACAUGUUGACAAAGGUAGUCACAAAAUCAAAGUUGGAAUUCUGCAUUAAGGCUGUUGGGAUGGACUCCAGGUAACUUGGAGUCAUGAUUGGAAUUCCUCCCUCAUGGACUGGAGGGGGAGAUUGUUGGUAUAUGGUCCAGCCCAUGAUGAAUGUUCUAGAUUAUUUUAGUAAGCAAGUGAGGUGGCUAGAGCAUGCUAGACAAUUCUAGCAUGUUAUUAAGUUGAUGGAAGAAGUUAAAGAGUACUAGCUUCCUUAGUUGCAAAUGGAAAGAUUUAGAAGCUACAAUUUUGUGGCUAGUCUAUAAUUAUCUAUGCUAGAGGUUUGAAGAAUACAAUAGAAACUAGUAGAAUGCCAAACCCUCACCUAUAAAUAUGGGUGUGAUGUUGUAGUGAAGUAACCAAUUAAGAACCAAGAUUGAGUAGCAAAGGAUCAAGUCCAAAGCUAGAGUUCCACUCCAAGAGUGAGAGUGAGAGUGUUCCACUACACAUUGUGAGUGAAGUUUAGAGUGAUAGAAAGUGUGUGUUAUACUUUCUUGUAUCCAUCAAGCCUUGUCUUUGGCUUGGUAAGACUAAUCUUGUUGUACUCAUAUUUUUCAUAUAGUGAAGAUUGAUCCUUGUUUAGUGGACGUAGGAAUAAAUUGCCGAACCACAUAAAUUUUUGGUGUCCAUAGUGAAGAUUGAUCCUUGUUUAGUGGACGUAGGCAUAAAUUGCCGAACCACAUAAAUUCUUGGUGUCCAUUUUCUACUUUACCUUGAGCAUUCUCUAUCUUGUAGUACAGACAUUCCUAACAGAAUGUUUCAUGCAAAUUGGAUUUGAAUCUUCUGUUGGCAAUUUAUGAAACAUGUAUUCUCCUCUCUGAGAACUGGGAGAAGGCUGCGAUUCCUACAAACGCCUUGUACUGACUUACAGUGGUAAUUGGACUUGUGAAAAAUAGGCCAAGUUAAGUCCAGUUCCAAAUCUCAGAAUUCAUAUACCUGCCCCAGCCUGCCUCGUUGCAUUUUAAAACGGGUCCGGUGUGGUCUCUAUAAAUUCAGGCAUGGACCGGUAGGAAAAACCAAGAUGGACAUUCAUCCAAGACAAAGGAAAAGCAACAAGAAAAUAAAGACAGUUAAGCUUGGAGUUUCCAUCAAAAUAUGCCAAAGGAAAGCGCGCAAAUCUGCACAGCCCUAGCUAUUUCCUUACCAUGAAAUCUAACCCUUCCACAUGCCACUUAUUUUCCUCCAAAAUAACAAAAGCAUGUGCAAACAUAUAAUAUUUUGCAUAUAUGUAGAUGUAGCUGCAAGUUAUACCGCCAUAGAUGUAGAUGUACCCAUAUUAUCAUAGAAAUAAAUAAAUAUUUAUUUUUUGCUUUGAAUUUUCUACAGGUCAAAAGGGGGAGGUGACUUGUGCAUAAUUCCUGCCUAAUGUAUUCUUAAUUUGGAAAUUGUCUCGCUCAAACCCAUAUCCUUUAUAAAACCCACAUUUAGAGAUAGAUCAUAUAUACAUACAAACCAAGAACAAUUUCCAAUCAAAAUAUAUGCUACAAAUGGCAAUUCCAAGGCUUCCCCAUAUCUUACAACUUUCAGUUCUUGUGCUUGAUAACAUAUGUAUCUCUAGCUAUUCAUAGCUAUGAAAAGGAAGAAAAGGAUUUGGAAGAAGAAAAGAAGAAAAGUAUUUGAGAAAUAGAAAGUAAUCUACUGAUUGCAUUGAAUGAAUGAAAUGUAUAUUGUUUACAAUGCUUUUAUAACCAUCCCACACUUUUACUUACGAAACUACCCUUUCUUAUCUCUAAGAUUCUAACUAACCACAACCAAUUACACCCAUCUCCAACCAUACAAUUCUGACAUGUCAGCUACCAUUGAAAUAUUGCCAUGUGUCACUUAUCAUCCCCCCUCAAUCUUGGCUAGGGUUCUAAGCCUAAGAUUGCAACAAUGUUUGAAAAACACUGGACUAUGUAAACCUUUGGUUAAAAUAUCAGCUGUCUGCUCCUCAGUGGGUACAUACUGAACCAGGAUGUUCUUCUGCUGAACUUUUUCCCGAACAAAGUAGAAAUCAGUAUCAAGGUGUUUGAUUCUGGUGUGAAAUACAAGAUUGGAACAGAGAGCAAUGGCAAACAAGUUAUCAUAGUGUAUAAAAGGAGGGUCAGGCAAAAACUUAUGCAAAUCCUUCAAUAGAUUCCGAAUCCAUGUAAUAUCAGCAGCACAAUGAGCAAGAGACUUAUACUCGGCUUCAAUUGAACUUCAGGAAACAGAAGCUUGCUUCUUAGACUGCCAUGAGAUUGGAUUAGAACCAAGAUAAACAACAAAACCAGUAACGGAUCUCUUGGUAUUAGGAUCAGCUGCCCAAUCAGAAUCUGAGAAGGCAACAAGAGACGGAUCACUGGAUGAUGAAUAAGUGAGUCCAUAUUCAAGCGAACUUUGCACAUAGCGUAAAAUCCUUUUGACCAGAUCAUAGUGCACUUCAGUGGGAGUAUGCAUAUAUUAACACGCAAUAUUAACAGCAUAUGCCAAAUCGGGUCGUGUGAAUGUAAGAUAUUGUAAGGCUCCGACUAUACUGUGAUAGAGUGUUGGAUCAGGUAAGGGAAUGCCCUCUGAAUCAAGAAACUGAGAAUGAGGUCGACAUGGUGUAUUCACAGAUUUGCAAUUAUCCAUGCUGGCCUUGUGAAGUAAAUCUUUGGCAUAUUUAGUUUGACUGAGAAAAAUAUCUCCAUUUGAUUUAUAUGUAAUCUGCAGUCCCAAAAAAUACGAUAAUCUGCCCAUAUCUUUGAGAUCAAACACAUCCCCCAAUUCUAUAACAACUGCUUGAAUCUUUGUUGUAUUAGAACCGGUUAGAAUGAUAUCAUCAACAUAAAGUAAUAAAGCAAUAACAUCCACACCAUCAUAUUUCACAAAUAGACUAGUAUUAGAUUGUGACAUGGUGAACCCCAUAGCAGGUAGAUAGCCAAUGAACUCGGCAUUCCAUGCUCGAGGUGCCUGUUUAAGGCCAUAGAGAGACUUAACCAACUUGCAAACGUGAUUAGGAUACUGAGGAUCAAUAAAUCCUUAUGGUUGGUGCAUAUAGACCUCUUCUUCCAAGUCACCAUGCAAAAAUGCAUUUUUAAUAUCAAGUUGUCUCAAUUCCCACUUGUGUUGGGCUGCAAAAGAAAGAAUGAGUCUCACCGUAGUAUGGUGAACUACAGGACUAAAAGUUUCAAAAUAAUCCAAACCAUGUUCCUGAGAAUACCUAUGAGCCACCAAACGCGCCUUAUAUCUUGAAAUCGAACCAUCUGGAUUCUUCUUUAGUUUGUACACCCACUUACUUCCAAUAACUGCCCUGUGAAUAGGUGGAGGCACUAAAUGCCAAGUUCCUUGACUUUGAAGGGCAUCAUACUCCUCUUGCAUUGCAUUUUGCAGGUGUGUGUUUGUUCCAGCAGUUCGAAAGGAUGUUGGUUCAGCACUAUCAGUAAUAUGAGCCAUAAGAGAAAAACCAUUGUGACAUGUAUCCAUAUCAUCCAGUCUCAAAGUGGACAAUUCAGGCAAAGAUGCAAUAUAACUAGAGUAGUCUUUUCUAGAAAUGGCACCAGUUUGCAACUUGGUUUGCAUCCUGUGAGGAGGAGGAUCACAGUGUGAGAUAUUAUCAAGAGUAGAUGGAUCAAAGGGAAGAAUUACCUCCAAUUGUGCAGGAUGAAUGACAGGUAACACAGAGGCUGUUUGUGGAGCUAGGAGAGUUGUUUCAGAUUGUGUAGAUGAUGUAGAGCUAUCAAAUGUAGUGCUGGAACCCUGAAAGUGUGACGGUACCACUGGAACAGGAAACUCAGAACCAGACAAUUGCACCUCAGUACUAGGAGACAUAGGCACAAUAUCAGAUAUGGUGAUAGCAGGUGAAGAAAGUACUGGAAGAACAAAUGGGGCAGAUGAUCUACGACUAUGAGCUUCCUGAGUAAAAGACAAACCCUGAGAUUGAUAUGUGAACAUUGCAAAAUUGAUCUUGCAAGGAAACACAUCCUCAUUGUGAAUAACAUGUCUAGAAAUAAUCAACUUUCUAGACUGUGGAUGAUAGCAUAUAACCCCUUUGUAUCCAUGUGUGUAGCCAAGAAAAACACAUAACACUGCUCUUGGUUGUAACUUGUUUUCAUUGUAUGGUUUAAUAUAUGGAUAGACUGCACUGCCAAAGACUUUCAACUCUUGCAGCCUAGGAGCAUCACCAAAUAAUAUCUGAUAUGGAGAAUUCAAAUGUAAAAUCUUACAUGGCAUCCUGUUGAUUAAAAAAACAGAAUGAGCACAUGCAUGAAACCACAACUCUUGAGACAAACCAGCAACUGUCAUGAGUGUUAUGGCUGUUUCUACAAUAUAUCUAUGUUUCCUCUCAGCAACUCCAUUUUGCUGAGGGGUAUAUGGACAAGAAACUUGAUGAAUAAUACCCUUUUGAGACAAAAAAAUUCUGAAAUCUCUUACUUAUAUACUCUUCUCCUUCAUCAGUUUGAAUGCACUUAAUACCAACAUUAAACUGAGUAUACAACACUAUAAAACUUGAGAAAGACAUCAAAGACUUCUGAUUUAUUAACUAAUGGGAAUAUCCAAACAUAUCUAGAAAAGUCAUGUACAAAACUGACAUAAUAUCGGAAACCUUCAAUGGAUUUUGUAGGUGAAGGCCCCCAAAGGUCAUAAUGAAUCUUUUGAAAGGGAAAUACAGAUUUUUUUUCUUAUCUACAAAAGGUAAUCGAGUCAUCUUUCCUGAAAUACAAAAAGAACACAUAUGUUAUGUAUCAUCUACACUACUAGUUAUCUGAGAGAGCUUCAACAUUGUAGACAACACUUCAUUGCUCGGAUGUCCACACCGUUGAUGCCAACUCACAUGCUUGACUUUCUGACCAAGUAAUCCAGUGAGCUUAUUCUGAGACUCCACUAUAGCAUCUGUAAUCAACCUGGUAAGAAUCUUAAACAACUUUCCAUCAUUGCUCCUUCCUUGGUACAGCACAGCCUUGGUUACCUUGUCAUGCACAAAGAAAUCAUUUUCAUCACAUAUGAACCAACAGGAAUUAUCUUUACAAAGUUGUUUAACUGAUAACAGAUUUACUUCAAUAGUAGGCACAUGUAACACAUUUCGCAGAAUUAAAGAUUGAGGUAAUGUGUGCAAUUUUGUAGAUCCAAUGUGACGAAUAGGCAAACCCCCUAUUGCCAAUUGUAAUUCGAUCAGUACCCUCGUAUGCAUUGACUUGCUGAAGAGCAUUCACAUCUGCAGUCAUGUGAUGUGAUGCACCUGUGUCCACAAUCCAAGAAUCACUGGGCAAGUAAGUUGGUUGGACUUAUGCUUGCAUGGCAGUGAGUGACUCUGAUGGUACACUGCCUUGAUAAGAAAAAUUGUUCCGAUGAUAGCAGUCCAAAGCAUUGUGACCCUUCUUCCCACAGAUCUGACAUUCAACUACUGUACCACUCGAGUUAGGAGUUGUAGACCUUUUCCAGCAAUUUGGAGUGGUAUGACCUCUUUUGAAGAAAAUCUGACACUCGGGGACAAUAUGUGACCUUGUUUCAGUGUUACCUGACCAAGAAUUCCAGUUGCCAUUAUUCUGCCUGUUACCAAAAGAUUGGCAUCUGCCAUGACUUGUAUGAUUCCCACCUUGUGAGGAUCAAAAAUUACCAUUCCCAUUACCAUUAUUAUUAGGCCUGAAAGACCGCGGACCACCAUUGGUAUUAGAAAACUGCCUUGGUGCAGCAACAUUUCCCACAAAACCAUAUGCAUUCGGAAACUCAGAAUAGCUCGAGAAAGAAGCUGAUGAGGAAGGAAACUGAUGGCCAGGAACUUGAGGAUACAGUAGUGGCAUAGUAGAAGAAGCCGGUAUUGAAACCGGUGUAAAUGGCAAAGAACCACUAUUUGAAACAGUUCCUUGGGAAAAACCAGAAGCUUGCAUUCCAAAUGAUGAAGACCCACUUGGCAUUUGAGUUAAAACACCGCCAGUUGUACAUGGAAUCCCACCAGAGUUACUAGAAGACCCCUGAGAUGAACCUUGUGAUGAUCCUUGCAUAUACAAACCCGUGAAAUUAUGAGGCAUAGUAGUCAAAAGAGACUCAGCUUCUCUUUCAGCACAUAACAACUGCUCACGAAAUUCUCUUAGUGUGAUAGAAGUAUCCCAAGUAAGAAUCAUUGUCCUGAUGGUAAAGUAUUCUCUAGGCAACCCAGAUAAAGCAGCCAAGACAAAGUCAUUAUCCGAAACAAUCUCUCCAGCAUUAAGUAAUUGUUCUUUAAUGACCUUAAGCUUUGACAAGAAUUGAUCUAUGGAAUCACCUCCUUUCUGCACAGUGUGAAACUCAGUCUUAAGAGUAUUAACUCUAGCCUUGGAAACUGAUGCAUACCUAUCUUGUAAGUUAAACCAAGCAUCAUGUGCAGUUCUGCAUCCAAUAACAUGCUCAAUUGCUUCAUCAGACAAGGUAGCAAGAAGUAAACUUAACAAUGCCAUAUCAACAGAUUCCCACUCCAAGAAAGCUUCAUUAAUUGUUGUAGUAACCCCAUUUUCCGGAUGAACAACAUAUUUUGAAUGACACACAGCAGAACCGUCAAAGUGAUCAAACAACUUAUACCCUUUCAAAACGGAUUUAAACUGAAAAGCCCAUUUAGAAAAAUUUCGAUCAUUCAAUUUAAUCAUCAACAUCCCCAAAAAUCCCUCAAUUUUCACACCAGGAACAGUCAUGAUUUACAGAUCAAAGGAUUGCACAGAGAUAACACCAAUUGAAAACCUAAGAAUUGCAGAACACCAGAGAAUGGCUUCGUAUUCAAGAACAACCAAAAAUAGCUUCGUGCCUCAAAACAAAUUUAACAAGAUUCACGACUUCAGCAAGAAAAAUGGCUUUGUGCCCUAACAAUCCAACAAGAAAAAUGGCUUUGUGCCUCAACAAUUCAUCAAUUCAACAAGAAAAUGGCUUCGUGCCCCAACAAUCCAUCAAUUCAACAAGAAAAUGUCUUCGUGCCCUAAAACUUCAACCAGAAAUUCACCAAAUGAAACAUAUCACCUGAGAUUGACAUGUAUUCAGAUCCAAAACUACAGAAUCUUCAGCUUUUCAUGCCCACAGCAGAUCGACGACUCUGAUACAUAUGUAUCUCCAGCUAUUCAUAGCUAUGAAAAGGAAGAAAAGGAUUCGGAAGAAGAAAAGAAGAAAAGUAUUUGAGAAAUAGAGAGUAAUCUACUGAUUGUAUUGAAUGAAUGAAAUGUAUAUUGUUUACAAUGCUUUUAUAACCAUCCCACACUUUUACUUACGAAACUAUCCUUUCUUAUCUCUAAGAUUCUAACUAACCACAACCAAUUACACCCAUCUCCAACCAUAUAAUUCUGACAUGUCAGCUACCAUUGAAAUACUGCCAUGUGUCACUUAUCAGUGCUCCUAUCUAUUUCAUGGGCAGUUUCAGCUGAUCAUGAGACCUUUGUUCAUUGCCUUCUAAACCAUUCCCAACCCUCUCACCCAAUUGCCCCAGCAAUUCACACUUCCAACAAUGCUUCCUACUCAUCCGUUUUGGAAUCUUACAUCUGAAACCUCCGAUUCAACACAUCUACAACCCAAAAACCCUUCCUCAUCCUCACUGCAUUGCAUGAGUCCCACGUGUAAAUAUCCGUUGUUUGUGCCCAAAUCCAUAACUUUCAAAUGAAGAUUAGAAGUGGAGGCCAUGAUUUUGAGGGUUUAUCAUACGUGGCUGAAUUUCCAUUCUUCAUCCUUUACAUGUUUAAUCUUCGAUCCAUCCACGUAGACAUCAAAUCCGAGACUGCAUGGGUCCAGGCUGGGGCUACUCUUGGUGAACUUUACUACAGAAUUGCUGAGAAAAGCAAAAUCCAUGGCUUUCCUGCUGGUGUUUGCCCUACAGUUGGUGUUGGAGGCCACUUCAGUGGCGGUGGAUAUGGUAAUAUGAUGGGAAAGUACGGCUUGUCAGUUGACAACAUAGUUGAUGCACAACUUGUAAAUGUGAAUGGUGAACUUCUCGACCGAAAAUCAAUGGGAGAAGACCUUUUUUGGGCCAUUACAGGAGGCGGAGGAGCCAGCUUUGGAGUUGUGAUCGCGUACAAACUUAAUCAUGUACGUGUUCCAGAAACAGUUACUGUUUUAAAGGUUCCGAGAACCCUAGAACAAAAUGCAACGGACAUUGUCUAUCGUUGGCAAUAUAUCGCGGAUAAGCUUGACAAUGACUUGUUCAUCAGGCUUAUCAUGGAUAUUGUAAAUGGUACUACUUCAAAUAGUAGUGGAGAAAACAAUAAGACUCUUAGGGCUUCAUUUAUUGCCAUGUUUCUCGGAGACUCUGAGAGGCUCCUCUCAAUCAUGGACAAGAGCUUCCCUGAAUUGGGUAUGAAGCAAUCUGAUUGCAAUGAAAUGAGCUGGGCUCAAUCUGUGCUUUUCUGGACGAGCUUCCCAACCGGGACAGCAACUGAAGCUUUGCUUUCAAGAACACCUCAAGUGCUUACACACUUCAAGAGAAAGUCAGACUAUGUCAAAAAACCAAUUCCAAAAACUGGUUUGAAGUGGAUUUUUUAGAAAAUGAUUGAGCUUGAGACACCAUUGUUGACCUUCAACCCCCCACGAAGGAAAAAUGAGUGAGAUAUCGGCGUCGGCAACUCCAUAUCCUCAUAGAGCUGGGAAUCUCUGGAUGGUUCAGUAUGCAACAAACUGGAACAUACAAGGGCCUGAGGCAUCAGAUCAUUAUAUUGAUCUGACAAGAAAACUCUACAUGUACUUGACUCCUUUUGUUUCCAAGAAUCCAAGGAAAUCCUUUUACAGCUACAAGGAUCUUGACAUUGGGAUCAACCAUAAUGCUAAUGGCAUUGCAAGCUAUUUGGAGGGGAGAGUUUUUGGCAUUAAGUACUUCAAGCAUAACUUUGAUAGGUUGGUGAAUGUGAAGACCAAGGUCGAUCCUGGUAAUUUCUUUAGAGCAAUUCCACCCAUGGAGCCCUUCCCCCUGGCAAUCCACUAUUCAAUCCACCCUAUUAAACAGUAACUGCCUUAAAUGAAUAGUAACUACUAUUAAUGAACAGUAAUUGCCAUUUACAUCUCCACCCUUGCAACCCUCCCCCUGGCAAUAAGCAAUUAAAAUAAUAGUUUUUUUUGUUUGUUUAAAUAAUAAAAAACCCCUCUCUCUCUCUGACACAAAAAAAAAAAACAAUUACAAAGCCCUCGGGCCACAGGCCCGUCGACUUCCCCCCCCCCUUCGCUCGGCCUCCCACCCUCACUCGGGCCCUUCCCCGCUGGAGCUGCUCCCACCGGCCCUCAGGCCCUUUCUCCUCCCCUAUCGCCCGAGCAACCAACAUCCGCUGGAGUUGCUCUUAGGAAUGAACAAAGUAUCCCACCACUUCCAUACAGUCAUUAUUUAGCUUCUUGUUGUGCAUGUUUUUUUUCUAUUGCUUUGGGGUUAGUUAUGUACAUCUUUAAUCAGCCAAAGAAAUAAAAAAAGAAGAAAGAUAUUGCUUACAAGAUUGCAAUUUGUUAGUACUUAAUUAUUACAAGUUUCAAGAAAAAUCUCUCCAAAAAUUGACAAAUUAGUAGGCUUUCUGGGAUUUCACUUUUCUAACUCUUGUUAAAAAAUUUACUUGUUUAUUUAAAGACAUUCCGUCAUUGAAAAUUUAGUAGGGACUAAUUGGCUUUUUCUACUUGCUUUGAUCAACAUGUUGUAGCAUGUCUCACAUUGGUAUCUUGAUUAAUUAUACAUACAACUUAUAUUGAACGAUUCUAUUACUAAUUACAUCAUGCCCCUUUGCAUAAAAUUUCACACAUAGUGAAUGACACAUGUGGUUAAGUUUGAGACAAUAGAGUUAUCUUCGUGUGCGUGGCCCACUAAAGAGGACAUGUUAAAGCAUGUCUAACAUCGUAAACAUGAGGGGGGGGGCACAAUGUCGUUGCAUGGGGAUGCGAUUCGCCAAGCUGAGCCAAACAAAACAGUCUGCCCACCCCCCCCCCCCCAAAAAAAAAACCACCGGAUUAGGAAUGCGAAGGCCUCCCCUUUUCUAUCACUUUGUUUGAGAAUUACAUACAACUGAUAUUGAUUAAAUUACAUACAAUUUAUAUUGAAUGAUUCCACUAUUAAUUAUAUUGACCUUUUUUAUGAGACUCAUACCUUUUAAAUUGCACAUUUUGUUAAGAAGACAAUAUUAAUAUAUGGAUCAUUUCUAUUUUCUUCUGUCUCUUGAUCUUGGGAUAAAUAGUAUACAUAGAGUAGUUUGGUUCAACUGAAGUGACACCGUGAUCAAUAUCGAUAUCUAAUCUACAAGGAAAUAUAUACGCAUCUAAAUUGGAUUCCUUUUUUUUUUUUUUUUUUUUUUUAGUUUGGUUCAACUGAAGUGACACCGUGAUCAAUAUCGAUAUCUAAUCUACAAGGAAAUAUAUACGCAUCUAAAUUGGAUCCUUUUUUUUUUUUUUUUUUUGGGGGGGUGAAAAAGAAAAAUCCCAGUUGGUUGGUAUGGCCUAUGGUCUUUUACUCCUAAAAUUUUGAAUUCUCCUUGUGCCAAAAAAUUUAAAAGUUGUCAGCGAUGCGGGAACUGUGGCCACUUACUUAUUCCCCAUCCAUCUCAACCCUUGCCAUAGAUUGAACCUCAAUUAUUUAACUCCCAACUCCUUUAAUAAUUUCGAGCCUGUGGCCCCAAACAUUUACCUCUACCUGGUGAACGGGUUCACCGUUCACGUGCUAAGCCACUAAUACAAUGUAUAUGCAUAUUUGUUUGAAAAUAAUUUGUAUUAGUGGUUUAAGACGUCAUGACGAUGAUAAACUUGUUUUAUGAAAGUUUCUCUCAUCAAUUAUCUCAUGUGAACCUCAUUUUUUUAUCAGAUUUUGUCAGUGGAGACCUUGCAAUUCACGUGUGUUGCUUUUAUUUGUAUAUAUUUAUAUGUAAAUUAUACAAAACUACUUCAAAUAUGUGUCGAACCACAAUCUCAUACUUAAUGUUUUAAACAUUACAAUGUCAUACCUUAUCUUACGAAUUCAUUGCCAUAUCAUACUUCCGUAAAAUUUUAUGUUAACUUUGAUUGUUAAAUGAUGAGAUGACACGUGCGGGACCUACAUACUCACCCAAUUGAAUUAAAAAAUUGAUUAAAUAUUAAUAACCAUUAAAAAAAAGAAAAUUAAUUAAAAUAGUUUGAAAACUUUAAUUUUAACGAUAAAAACAAAAUAAAUGGUAAAAUGAAUAGUAUCAAGAUUGACUUUUUACUGUAAAAAUAUAAUUUUUCGUUAAAAUAAACUGUACUGAGAACUUUAGGUUAAAGUUUAUUUAAAAAAAUUAUUAAACAAAUUGCGGGACCCACCUCCACCACCUACUUUAUCCCCACUCCAUACGUCCCCCUCCCUUUUUCCCUCUUUCUGUUCCAGAAACCCUCCCCCACCAUUUUUCCUCUGCAAUUCUCCCCCGCAGCCCCAACAACAAAACCCACCGCCAUUGUCUCUUCCUUGUCCUCGGGGAAACUCUCUUCCUCACUCACUCACUCAUUUCUUCUCUUCCACUCCUGCAACUCCCAAUUCACUCAUUACCAUUCCCGUCUUCGCCACUCUCUCUUCCCCUUUAGAAAACCCGCCUCUGGCCCAAGAUGGGCCCAACGGUUCUACUCGGAAGCCUAUUAGCCUUUCUUCGGGAAUGUACCAGUCGCCGGUGACAAUUGCGUUGUGGGAAGCGAGGUUGAAGAUCUUCGAGAGGUUCUUUCUGGACCCGCCCAAAGACGCGCCGUCACAUAACAGGACGAAGAUUCUCUACAGUGCAUUUGUUGGUGUUUCAAAAACGUCGUUGAUGGUGAGGAGGGAGCCUCAGCAAACUCCGGUUGGUGUUGCGAGAAAUUCCUCUGAUUCGGGCCGGGUUAGGUCGUUUGUUGUACCUUCUGCAUGCUCAGGUCUGCAAACUCCAGUUGGUGUUGCAGAUUCGGCAGAUCAGACCUGAAAUCGAACCGAAAAAAUGGUUCGCCUCGAGCCAGGUGCACGGGUCAAUGGAGGUGGAGUUCCAGGUGGUGAUCUUGUUGGAUGGUUAGAUGGCUUUGUUUCUCUGCAAGUGAGAAACAAAGCUAGGAGGUGUGCUGAGCAAUGGCGUGGUCAGAAAUUAUUCGACUGGUGGGCUAACCUAAUAUUAUUAGUCCGAAAUCAAAAUUUAAUCCUAUUUUUUCUACAUAAAGUUAUAUAAUAGUAAAAACUUGAAUGUAGUAAUUUGAAGCAAGAAAUUUAUGCUAUGUUUUAUAGGUUUCUAGCCUUCAAACUUUCCAUUGAAUAAAAUAAGGAACUAUUUGUGGUAUGAAAGUUUUAAUUUAUUACUAUUAAAUAUAAUAUUAGUUAAAGUGAUGAGUUUAUUUAACAUUUAUUAGUUCUUAUUAUUCUUAAAAACAACCUUAUUAAUAAUAAAAUUUCAUUUCCUAAAUGAAAUAUGACAAAUAAAAAUUAUAAACUAACUCAAAAAUUAAUAUUUUUAAGCUUGAAGAACCAAUUGUACUUGACUCCGCCCUUGGUGCUGAGGUUCGGCCAUGGCUGCCUUUUUUCAAGUGAGAGCAGAGAGAGAGUGAGGGAGACAAGUGAGAGGGGAGAGAAUAAUUGAGGAACAGAGUUCUUUUAUUUAAUUGUUAAAUAAAAAUAAUAAUUUAUUAUUAAUUAAUUGUUUUUUUUUUCUAGUUGGAAAAGGAUGGGUCCGUUCCUACUACAUCAUCAUUUAACAGUCAAUUGAUAGAAAAUUUAACAGAAGUUUGACAUUGUAACAAAUUUAUAAGUUGAGGUAUGACAUUGCAAUGUUUAAAACAUGAAGUAUGAAAUUGUGUAGUUCGACUCAUAAUUGAUGUAGUUUUGUGUAAUUUACCUUAUAUUUAUUUAUUUAUUAAUUUACCAUUAUUGAUCCAACAGUUGUGAUUUAAACCAUAGAACAUGAAGUACAAUUCCAACUGUGAUUAGCACCUAAUUAAAAUAUCGUAUAAAAAAUUUAAAAUAUAUAUAUAAAUUGAAGGAAAAAAAGAAAAAAACCCAAAAGUCCCCUUCGUCCCCAUCCCUUCUUCGCACCUGAACCCAUCCCCCAUCAGCCAUCAGCCAUCCCCUUCUCCCAUCCCCCAUCCCCCUCUCUCUUCCUAUACCCUCUCUUCCUGUACCCUCUCUUCUUACUCCCGUAUUCUCUCCCCCUUUCUCCUUUUCAAUUCACGAUGCAACAGCAGCCAAUUCUUUCUCUCUUCCUCUUUUCCUCUCUUCCUCUCUUUAUACCCAGUUGUGAAGGUGCUUGUAAUUUAAAGGAUGUUAAGUUGCUGACUCUUUUUUUGUAGAAGCUGCUGCUUUGAGAUUUGGCCUUUUCCAAGCCAAGCGUGCAUGUUACUCAGGGUUGGAGCCGCAGCUAAUCCACAACAAUGUGAAGUCGAGUAAUGUGCUGCUGGACCGCGGAGGCUAACUGAAAUCAAAGAAUCAGGUAGUAGUGAUUGUGAUUGAUGACGUGCCCAAGUAGGAGGAGCCGGAGAGCUACGGAUUUGCCUCUUUUGCUAUCGACCUCGAUGGUCACGACGGCUCCGAUGGCCUCUUCGAUUCGUCCCCAACGUUGGCGUCGUGGUCAACGACUACCUCUCGUUCUUUAAUUUGUUCAAACAUUAGAAACCACAAUUUCAGGGACAUCUGCAACACUAUCUUCAGUUAACAAACCCCUCGGGUGGAGAAGAAAACUUGGGAUGGGGUGGGUUUUUGGAUGGGAGGGGAGAUGAAGAGAGUGGAGGAGAUGGACGUGGGUCAGGGGAAUGGAUUUAUGGGUUCCAUUUUUUUUUUUUUUAAUUUUAAAUAGGAUAAAUUAUUGUAAUUUUUAAAUGCAUAAAAAAAUUCUUUUUUUACCACGUGACACACAUUUAGCAAUCACGUCAGCUCUUAACGGGCCAAUGGAUGGAAAAUGUAACGGUAACGGUUGUAUUAUAUUGAAAUAAAAUAGUAUUUGAGGUACGAAAGUGAAAUUUUUAAAGAUGUUGUAUAAGGUUGCAAUAGAUUUAAAACCGAAGGUGGUAAAGUGUAAUUUACCCUUUUUUUUCCAGUUCCUUUUCACUUCAUUUUCUCUGUCCGUUCAACACUAUCUCGCUUGCCGCCGUCAAUACAAUGGCGUCCUAAGUGGGAACCUACGUCGGGUGCCUUAUCGACAACCUGAGGUGGUAAUAUGAUUUCCGGAGCACAGUUGCCGUGUUAGCCUUCUAUUUGGAUCGCGAGAAUUUGGUAUCCAUUUUCUGGGAAUCUAAGAGAAGGCUUCAGUGGUGAGACUUUCAAACAUGAAUAUCUCAGUACGCUGAUACUGAUGGACCAAUCAUUUAAUUGAAAAGUCGAACAAGUGGUGUGAUAAUGUCGGCUCAUCAGGCGGUGGGUCGUCGUCGAUUUUUGUCAGUAAAACAGCUAAUAGAAUGUCCUCUCUCUCUUUCUCAGUCUCUCUAGCUAUUUCUCAUUCUCUCCGUCUAAGCUUCAACUUUCUAGAUUCGACGGGCGACAUAUUGUUGAAGGGUAGUAGCAAACCUUCCAUAAAUGCAGCAGCAUACCCGGUUUCGCAAGUUCGAAAGAUUUGAGGGGCAUAAUCCGGACUUUCAGUGGCGAUUUCAGACGAAUGAAGGGGCGGUCCCUCUGUAGCUUCGCCAAUGGGUGAUAGGUCUUGGCAGUCUGGAAGGUGGUGUGGUGGUUUGCGUUGGUUAAGGGUGGGGAUGGGUGUGUGCUUUGGAUGGUUGAAUCAUGGGAGGCAGAUGGGAAAAGCAGGGCAAUUUCGGUAGAGAAGUUUGAUUCCAGAUGUUGGCUUUCUUUCAGAAUUCAAUUACCACCUUCAAGUCAGUAUUUGGAUUCUGGGGAUAUUAGGAAUCCGAUUAUUGAUUUUGGAUGGAGCCUACUAAUUUUUUCAUUCCCAAAAUUUGGUCAAUGCCAGAAUCACUUGGAGAAAAAUUUCAUUCCCUUUCUUCUACCUCCAUUCCGAUUUGAUAAACGCGUGGUGAAGACCAUGUCAUCCAUUGGAGAUGCCCUAACAAAAUUAUUUUGUUAGAUGGACUAUGAAACUCAUGUUAAAAAAAAAAGGAAAAGAAAAAGACCAAUGCUAAACAAUCAUGGAAUCCAUUUUAUUUUUUCUUGAGACAAAACGAGGUCUCCAAGUCAAAGUAGACCAUGCCCCAAUAGGCUACAGAAUUUAGAUAAAUUAAGCAAAUCCACUCCUAGCUAAUUGUACACCAGGGGCUUCCUUUACAAUACAUCAAAUCAAUAAUAUUACAAACAUCAAUGUAAUUAUCGAGCAUGACGUGAUAGACCAUACUGCAUGUAAUUCAUUGUCAAACCUUCCGUUCUCUCUCGUAGCUAAACAGGUGGGAUACUUUGUUCAUGCUUGAAAAAAUUAUGAGGAUCAACCAUGGUUUUCACACGUACCAGUCUAUCAAAAUUACCUUUAAAAUACUUGCUCCCAUAAAUCUUCGCAAUCUGAAAGUUAGUCUGAUUAUCCAGAUUAGCCCCAAUUUCUAGAUCCCGGUAGUUUUGGAAGGCCUCUCUUGGGUUCUUGGAGACAUAUGGAGUCAUCAGGUCAAACAACUUUCUUGAUAAUUGAAGGUACUUGCUGGCUGCCUCAACACCUUCCUCUACCCAUACCGCAUAGUAUUGAAUCAAAAAUAGGUUUCCAGCUCUGUGAGGGGACGGAGUUGCCGACUCAGGAAUCUCGCCCAUUCUUCCACCGUAAGGGUUCCAGUCCAUCCAAAAAUUGUCUAUCUUAAUCAUCUCCUUCCAUAAGGAUUCUAUAACUCGUUUCGGAAUCGGUUCGUCACAUAGUCAGACUUGGCUUUGAAGAAGCUUGGUUGUCCAUUUGUCCUGUUGAGAAGAGUAGUUAUCGGAGUUCCAAAUGGGAAAUCAGCAAAGAACACUAUGUUUUCAAUCCAGCUCAUUUCGAAACAAUCUCUUCGUUGCAAACCUAAUUCGGGCAAGCGCUCCUUUACCAACGGAAGAAGCUUGUUAGUUCGUCCCAAAAAAAGACCAAUGAAUGAUACUUUCACAGUCUUCUUUCUCCCGGUGCUGUUCACUUGUAGUGGCCUUACUCUGAGGAAGAGGUCUUUAGGCAGCAGGGGUGCUGCGUAUUGCCAUUUAUAAACGACAUCUGUAGCCCCUUGCUCUAAGGUUAUUGAGACGUUGAACACAGUCACUUUAGCUGGAACCGAAACCAACUUGAGCUUCCACGAGAGAAUGACCCCGAAACUAGCUCCACCGCCUCCUCUAAUAGCCCAGAAAAGAUCUUCUCCCAUUGAUUUUCUAUCAAGGACUCUACCAUCUGCAACAACUAUCUUAGCAUCAAUAAUAUUAUCGAUGCUAAGGCCAUAUUUACGCAUCAAAGAGCCAUACCCGCCGCCACUAAAGUGACCACCAGCACCAACAGUUGGACCAACCCCAGCAGGAAACCCUAGAACGUUGCUUUUCUCAGCAAUUUUGUAAUAAACUUGGCCAAGGGUAGCUCCGGACUGAACCCAAGCGGUCUUCUCCGCAACAUUAACAUUAAUGGAUUGGAGUUGAAACAUGUCAAGAAUGAUAAAGGGUACAUGGGACACGUACGAUAGACCCUCGUAAUCAUGGCCACCACUUCGGAUUCUGAUUUGCAAUCCUUGCUGUUUUGCACAUAGAACAGUUGCUUGAACAUGGUACUCGUGCUUGGCUGCUACAAUGGCCAAAGGUUUUGGAGUUGUGGAUGUAGAAAAUCUGCGGUUUUUAAUACGGUCCGACAGAACAGAUUGAAACGAGGUGUUUUGAGGGGUGUAAAUGCCUGCAUGGAUUGAGCUGGUAGACUGAGAUUGUUUAGAAAGGCAUUGCAGAAAGUCAUCAAUAUUGACAAGUGGAUCUGAAGUUGCCCAUGAAACUGUGACGACUGAAAGGAUUGAGAGAAUGGCGAGUUGAAAUGGAGAGCUUGGGAACUUCAUUAUUGUUGAUUUCUGGCAGUGUGACAAAACAAACGACUUCGGAGUAUUUAUAAAGAAGCCAAAGCACCAAACUUUGACUCCGUUUGUGCAUGGUAAUUAAAAUAUGGGUGCUUUAGAUUUAGCCCCUUACAACUGUUGAACUCUAGACAUAAACCCACCUGUAUUAAAACAUCUAAAUCAAAAUCAAAAUUUGAAUUUGAUGUCAUGUAAGAUAAAAGAUGUCCAUACAUUUAAAUUUAUUUACAACACCAUGCCACCUAGGGGUGGGUUCAAAAAACCGAAAACCAAACCGAACCGAAACCGAAAAAACCGAACCGAACGAAAAAAUCGAACCGAAUUGAAAAAACCGAACCGAAACGAAUUCUUUUGGUUCGGUUAGGUUUUAGUGAUCUAGAAACCGAACCGAACCGAAUUAAUUAAAUUAAUUUUUUUAUUUAAUUAUUUGUUUUGGGUAUUAUUUUCUAAACCCAAUUUGUAAGUUAAAAUGUGCUAAACCCAAUGUAUUGCCAAACUUUAAGCUCAAAAUAUUUAAAAAAAUGCCUAUAAAAACUCUAAACCCUAACCUAUUAUUUCUCCCCUAUAUAAGGUUCCGGAACUAAACCUCCUCCUGAAGUAUCUACAUCCAUCUCCAUAGCACUGUCUACUUCUGCCCCGGCUUUCUUUUCCAAAUCUACUCUCAUAUAACAUGUAACAAAAUCCAUAAACAUUUAUUUCGGGUAGAUUACUUGGGUAAUUUGUGAUGGAAAAGAAUCCAACACACACUAAAUAAAUCUACACACGCAUUACUUUUACUAAUUAAGUUGUCAACAUGCAGUUACAAGCAAACAACCCUGAUCUUUGAACAACAUCAUACAAUUUAACUUUUCUAAGUCAUUUGUACGAUUUUUGUGCUGUGAGGUUGUUAGUUUGGACUUUGGAAUACUUGAUUGAUGAUUUUAGUUCAACUUUAAAUGUUUAUUUUCAUUGUCUUUGAUUUUAGUAAGAAUGCUUAUGUUAUGAUUGUGUUGCAUAUGUUAAAAUUUAAAAUUUGAAUGUUUUUCAUUUUUUGAAAAAAACAAAACAAAAACAGAAACCGAACCGAAACCAAACAGGAAAAAACCGAACCGGAAAAAAACCGAACAAAAAAAAUGAACCGAACCGAAAUUUCAGUUUCGUUUCAAUUUUGGCAAAAAACCAAACCGAUUUAAACCGAACCCACCCCUAAUGCCACCAACAUUAAUAUGACUAUUACGGUUUUUUUUUUGUAGACUUUUAAUUUAUUGUCUUUGUUUGUCAACAACAUUCAAUUAGUUCAAGUUUUUUUUGCUUUUAAUUUAAAAAAAUAAGGAAGUUCUUUUCUUCUUUUAUGUGAAAUCGCCUAAUCCAAAUCUAAUUAGUUCAAUAUACAUUCUAUUGAAAAAGUAGAUACAUUAACUUGUGAAUUUUUUUUUAAAAAAAAAAGGUAAAAAUAAACUAGUAGAUACAUUGUUUUUUUGCAUAUAUGGGUUUGUUAUUAUGUAGGUAAAUUAUUUUUCAUGUAUUUUACAUACACUGGGUAUAUUAUUUUUCUUUUUUUAAGCAAUCUAACAUUUAAAAUUUUUAAUAGUGGGUGCACUGUUUGAAUCAAAUGUUUUUUUUUUUGUAGGGAAAUUAUUUUGCAUGAAUUUUACAUAUAUCAGGCAUUUAUAUAUGUGUGUGUGUGAGAGAGAGAGAGAGAGAGAGAGGGAAAUAAUUUACCUACAUUAAUAUGUAAAAUAUAAUUUUAUUGACUUAAUUAAGCAUGUAUAAUAACAUAUAUUAGACCUGUUUUAUGUUAUUAUAUAUUAGGCAAUGAAUUUAUAACAUUAUUGUUUUUUUUUUGGUAAAAUCAUUAAUUCUCUCUUAUCAUCCAUCUGCAUGGCAUUAAUUAUAUAUCAAACAUUCAAAUAGGGUUUAUAAAAAAAUAAAAAUAUUCAAAUAGGGGUAUUUUAGGCAUCCGAAUUUUUUUAAUUUGUGAAGUCAAACAUAAUUAAUGAAUUUGCUGAUAUGAAAUCUAGUCAAUGGUUUUAUUCAAGAAAAAAACUUAUCUCAGGUUUUAUGUAGAGAAAAUUAAAAUUUUAGAGCUAAAGUCAUAUUUUCAGUUAAAAUAUCAAUCAAAUUUCAUUGAGCGAAGGAGUUGAUGUGUGGCGGAGAAUUCAGGUUUAUCUGUUACUCGUUUGUUGAGGGAAUCUAACUUUUAAUCGAAUAAUACCAGAGGGUACGGGCAAUUUCGGUUUCGCCAUAAAUUAUUUGUCUUCUACACAAACACAAAGAGCAUGAAUGAAUGUUAUGGAAGGAGACGCAAGUGUCAGUAUUUAGGCCCAGUAUUUAAGUCGUGGGUCAACGCGGAUUUGAAAAAUGGUGCACGUUUUUGAUGCGAUGAUGCGAAUCAAGCAUACAUACAAGUAUAUCCCACCCAAAAAAUAAAAGCGUAUGGUCCCGGCCAAAAUAACCUUCUCUCUUUUUUUUAAUCUAUAUGUACCUUGAGAGUUGGAUCAUAUAUAGUUAAUAAGAUUAUAAACUAGUACAAGAUUUUAAUGAAACUUCGUUUUUUAUUUUUUAUUUUUAUUUUUUUAUCUGAGUGUCGUAACAGAGGGCCGUGAAAUUAUUAUUCGUUUCAUUUUAGUUUCAUAGUUUGGUAAAAUAUGGGAUUCAAUUAUGUUUUAUGAAGAGAAGAAUCAUAAAUAGAAAAGCGUCUAUGGCAAUCAGUAAAGGAUAAGUUGGGCACGAGAGAUUUUUCAGUGUGACCGGUACACGGAGUGGUAUACCACGUGUUACUACACAAAUGAUUGGAUAUGUGUGAUAAAAAGUUAACUUAAAAAAUAAAAUUUCCCACCACAUAUAUAAAAACACGUGAUGUACCAUCUGUGUUCCGAUCACAAUGAAAAAAUUCUCGUUGGGCACAAGUAGGGGUGGGCACUUGGAACCGAAAACUGAAACCGAAACACGAAUUGAAUCGAAGAGCACCAAACGGUUUGGUUUUGUGGUUUUGAAAAGGUUUCGGUUUCGAAACCAAACCGCGGCAAAGAAAACAGUUUGGUUUCAAUUUUUGGUUUUCGAAAUCGAAACCGAAAUUGAAACCGCAUGUUAUGUUUUCAACUAGGUUACUGGACUAUCAUCCAAUUUUUCACUUCGAGUCCUGAAGGCUGAAACUCAUCUUCAUCUCUCUCAAAAGUCAAAACCCAUCUCCAUCACUUUCACAGUCGACAUUAGUGCCCUAAACUCAUUAUGUGCGACAUGGCUGCUUGCAUCUCUGCGACCUCACCGCUUGCAUCCUCAGAUCCCAUUCAUUUGGGAGCCCUGUAUUCUGCAAAUCAAAAGCUUUGCAAAACAAACUUGACAAAUCAUUCACCUGCUCUUUGUCACAUCCCGGCCCGGGAUAGAUCACUUCCCGGGCCCGCUCCACCACCGUAGCAUGAUAUUGUCCGAUUUGGGCUCCGACCACGCCCUCACGGUUUUGUUUCUGGGAACUCACGAGCAACUUCCCAGUGGGUCACACAUCAUGGGAGUGCUCUAGCCCCCUUCUCGCUUAACUUCAGAGUUCCUACGGAACCCGAAGCCAGUGAGCUCCCAAAAAGCCUCGUGCUAGGUAGGAAUGGGAAUAUACAUUUAAGGAUCGCUCCCCUGGGCGAUGUGGGAUGUCACACUCUUCGUUCCAGCUAAUAUGGUAAGAACUUGGAACUUGUAUUAGUAAGUUUAGUUAAUAAUUUGUAAUUAAAUUAAUUUUAUAGUUAGGGUUCGUUUGAAUCAAAGAUUCAAAAAGGGAACUGGGAGCACUUUCUUCGAGUAUUCUGCAUACCACAUUAUAUAUUGAUAGCAAAAUCAAGAAUUUUCAUUAAUGCAGUUUUUCUUACUCAUAGGACAAUGAAAACUCUGAAGUUAAGCAACUUAUUCAACUCAAGAACUUUUUCCUCUCUUUCUUUCUUGUUUUGUAAAUCGUCUAUUAUUGAUUUUCUAUUUUCAUUGUUCUUUUGUUCUUUCUUGUUUUGGAGCAUUGUUGCGUAUGAGUUCUUUUGUUAUGUUUUCAUUGAUUUUUUGUUUUGUUGUUCUCUAGUCAGUAGUCAGGUGUAGUUCUAAGUUGUAGCAGAAAACUGGUGGAUUAAAUUUAAAGUCAUUUUAUGCAAGAGGCUUGAAAGUCGUCUUUCAAUUAAUGGUUAAAUUCCACAUGCCAAUCUAACAAAACAAACUCAUUAAUAUCAUGGCAUUGAAAUUCAAAGUUAGGACAUUACUUUAUUAAUUACUAUUAAUAUUAGGGUACCAAAUUGACAGGUUAAAGUUGAACUGAACUGCCCCAACUAGGGUUGAAAUAAAAUGGCAUAAUUACAUAUGGUCAGAGAGGUUUUCUUUAAUGCUUGUGUUGUGUGUUGUAGAUUAUGUGCAUUCCAUUCCUUUAAGAUAAUGAGCAUUUCGUAUUUUAUUUCAAUCAAGAUAUGAAGAAUUGCAGCAAGCAUAGUGGGAUUAGUCACUCUUCUACGGGGGACUCCCCUGAGAAGCCAGAGGACGAGGCAAUAGAAAUUGACUUGAAAAAUGAAAUAGAUGUUGAAGGUGACCCUGAAAAUGACGGCGAAGAAUUUGAGGGCGAAGAUGAAAAAGUAAGUAACUUUGAUUCAAGAAAACGUAGUUGGGUUUGGGAUCAUUUUACAACAUAUUGUGUGACGAAAAAACAGUCGAAAAUUAAUGAAAAGGGGGAGAAAUAUUUGGCCGAAGUAAAACGUAGGAGAGCUAAAUGUAAUUAUUGCCCAAAACAGAGCAGUGUGGGUGACUAUGCAGCUGAAGCGAGAGUUAAUGGCACCACAAGCAUGAGAUACCACAUUGAAAGAUAUUGUAAAUUUUACCAAGGGAAUAGAAGUAAAAAGCAAAAUAUAUUGCGUGCCCUUUAUGAUGAAUAUGCUCCCAAUGUUGAAGGUGGAAAAUAUAUGAAGAAAUCGGAAAAUUUACAAUCACAACCUUCUUCUACCUCAUCUAAUGUGGCUAUGACGGAAGAUGAUCUAAUUGAUGAAUUGAUGCAUUUUGUUGAAGAUAGUGAUGAUAAAGUGGUGGGAGAUGAGGUGGAUUCUUUGUUUGAUCCUUUGGUACAAAUUACAAAAGAGGAGUCCACAAAGCAUUUUAACAUUCUCCUAUGGUGGAAGGUGAAUGGUAACAAGUAUCCUAUCUUGGCCGCAAUUGCAAAAGAUAUUUUUGCAAUUCAAGUUUUGAUCGUGGCAUCGGAGAGUGCUUUUAGCAUUGGUGGUCAAGUGAUUUCGGAUUUUAGGAGUUCUUUAACUCCUAAAUUGGUGGAAGCCUUGAUAUGCAUGCAAAAUUGGUUGAAGGGCGAUAAUAUUAUUACUUUGGAGGAUGAUGCACUUUCAAUUGACCAUAUUGAGUUCUAUGAAAGUAUUGAAUCAGGUAAGUAUAUCAUUUGAAGUAAAAGAACUUUCUCGUUUUCUUUUUUCAACUAAACAUUAAUUAUAUUUUUUAUGUUUUGUAUUGUGUAGAGUUGGCCAAAUCAGCUUCAAGCAUUGCCUCUCUUGAUCCACAACCACAACAAGCUCCAAAGCAAUCUCAAUGUUCUAAUUCACAAAAGCCUCCCAUUUUGCGUUUACAAGGUGCAAGGCCUUCACAAGCUCAAAGGCCUCCUAAACCUUCAAAGAAUAAGUGUCCAAAAGGAAAAGGAAAGACAAAGGUUUGAAACUUGAACGAUGCAAUGUAAGUUGAAAACCAAGACCUUGUUGAAUUCCAUGAACCAUUUAUUUAUUUUUUGUUGUAUUAAUGCCAUAAGGCAUUUUGACAUUGAACUUUGUUUGAAACAUUGAAGUUUGAACUUUAGUUGUAUUAUGGCAAACUUAACUUUUCAAUUGGGUUGUAGUAAAGUAUUGUGAUUGGUGAUCAAGUUGAAUUUUAGUAGAUGUGAUGCGUAAGGAUUUAAAGUUUAAACCCAUUGAUGCAUUGGAUGUUGUCUCAAUUUUAGUAGUUGUCAUUUGUUGCAGUUUUGGUACAAGUUUGGUACAUGUUAGUUGCUUUUUUUGCUGCAGUUUUGCUACAGUAUUAGACGAUAUGGGGUGACUGAUGCUACAUAUGACUGAUGCCGACUAAUGUUGCUUACUGAUGCUGCAUAUGACGGUGCAUAUGGAUAUUACACGAUAUAAGGUGACUGAUGCUGCAGUAUUAGACGAUAUGGGAUGAUUGAUGCUGCAUACAACUGAUGCUACAUAAUGAUGUUGCAUACGACUGAUGCUGCAUAUAGAUAUUAGACGAUAUGGAGUGACUGAUGCUGCCAAAUUUUAUGUUUCUUUCCUCUUUCCAUGGGAUUCUCAAUUAAGUCUAAUCCCUUAAUUUGAAGAAGAUUGACAUCUAGAUGUUGCCAAAGUUUAUGUUUCCUCUUUUUUUUUUUUUUUUUUUGCAGUUUUGCCACUAUUUGUUGCUGCAUUGUUGUUGCUGUUUUUGCUGCAUAUUCAUUAAUUAAUAUAUGAGGAAAAUAAGACCGCCUUUAAAUUGUACAUUUUUUUCUCAAAAACCAAACCGAAACCGUUUGAAACCGCACCGAAUUGAACCAAACGGUUUAAUUUCAUUUCGAUUUUAGCUUCAAAACCGCACCGAACCACACCGUAAAAAGUUUCGAUUUUGGUUGCGGUUUCACUUGAAACUACACCGAACCGCACCGUGCCCAUCCCUAGGCACAAGCAGGAAAAGAGUCGAGCCAAGUACAAUUCGAUUAUUUGUGAUGACCUAAAUUAGCUAAAGGCAUCAGCGGAAAUUUUGGUUUCUCUAAAUGCUUGGACAUUUAGGUUGACUUGCCCUCAAUUUAACAAAUUCAUCUCCACCAGUAAAGAAAAGGGCAAUUGUAUAAAGGGCAGCAGCCUGUCGGACUGCCCUUGCAAUAAUUGCUGUGCCUUGAGCCAGCCAUGAUGCCAUCAUACUGCAGAAAGUGGGCCCCACGUGGACGCCACCGAGCCAUUGGGCUGAAUUUCCAGUCUGGCAACUGUUGGAAAUUCCAACUGUCUUCUCGUUUGGAUCCGGAGAGAUCCUUUUCCGUUUGUUAUUUACCAAUCAAAGAUGAUCUUGUUUGCUUUCCCGUCACGUCUUGUAGUGCUAAUUAGGGUAUCUUGUAUGCUUUUGCUUUUCUUUUGUUUUUUCGCAACUUUGGAAAUGAGUACAAAAACAUUCAACUUCGGAUAAUAUGUUUUUAAAGAUUUUAGAUUUGUACGUUUUGUGGGGUUUGUGAUACUUCCAGAAACUUUGUAUGACUUUGCUGUGUUCUACAGUGAUCUCUCUAUAGGAGAGUAUUCUUAAGUGUGAUUUUGGUAUAGAUAUGUCGUGUUACACCUAUUUUUGAAGAAUUUAUCAUUACCCAAAAUUUACUAGCAUUCUUAAAUGUGAUUUUGGUAUAGAUAUGUCGUGUUACACCUAUUUUUUGCAAAUUUGGCAUUACACAAAAUUUUCUCUUAGGCAUCAUCUUUUAGACAAUGCCUAUCUCACUUCACAAUGGAGACUUUUGUUUUUCACUCUUAGAUUUCAGAAUUUACAAAUUUGAGUAAGUGCCGCCGAUGCCUUCUCAUUUUUAGACUUCAGUAUUUAUAAAUUUGACACCUAAACUAUUAACACCAUCAAAUUUUGUUUUUUUCCGACGGUGACAAUGCAAUUUGGUGGCCGAAUUAGGCUUUUAUCUAUUUGUUGGUUGUGUAUGCGUAAUUAUGUUUAGGUCAUGUUAAAGUGUUGGAAUUCGUUUAAAGGGUUAUGUUGAAACUGGCCAUGGAAAAGUUAUACUCAUUUUUUUAACAUGUUUGUUCUUCGUUGCAAUGUUUAUUAAUUGUCAUUUGGUGGAGUGGAUAUACGUUUUGUUUUUUCAAUUUAUGUUGCUUAGUCGUUACCUAAUCUUGUCACUUAUUGAAGACAAAAUCUUUAGAUGGUUUUUUCUUUGUCAAGCAAAUCUUUUGGAAAGUUGCACUUUUCGUGUUAGCUAAUUAAUCAAAGAUAUAAAUUUUGUUCGACGACAGUACCUCUAAAAGAAAGUAACAUAAAAAUUUAGUUUCGUAGAGAUAACAUUGAUUACAUCAUAUUUCAUUUUGUUAUAUAAAAAUCCAUGUAUACUGUUAUUAUCCGUGACACCAUUAUUUUCACACAACUUUUGACACAUGGUUUUUAUAGGAUCUACUUCGUAAUGUAUUUCAAUGAUCUGAGUCAUCUAUCUUUUAGGUCUUCCUUCAAGAUCAUGUCUACCAAAAAUACCCAAAUCUGAAACCAUGACCAUUGGAUUAAGGGUUUAUGUUUCUUUGUAGAACUAUAUUUGUCUAUUUUCUUCACUAUAAAGGAAUGUUUUAAUGAUUUUAAAUUUGUAUAAUUGUUUACAAAAAUGAUCUAUAAAUGACUUUCUAAAAGAUAAACGAUUCAUAUAUGAAAACAAAAUAAUGUCACAAAUCUGUAUAUAAUAUUACAAGGUUGACUGACUCUUUUCAAAAACUGGUAAACCAGUAGGUUAGCUGGGACUUAAUAAUUGGUGUUAUAUUUAUAUAUUAUUGCUCAAUUAAUGGUCCAUACAUUUGGUUGCGUACACUCCAUAUGUAUUCUCGUUGGAUCCUUUUUGUGAUGAUCUUAGGAAUCUGUGAAUUAUGUUCAUUUAUUAUAUAUCGUGCGGUCAUAAAUUAUUUAAAUAUUUUUAUUUAAAAUUAAAUAUAAACAAUACUUAAUAAAAAUUGAUUGCAUAAUGUACGAUAAUAGACACCAUUCAUGGAUCUAUAGGAUCUUCAUCAAAAGGAUCCGGAGAGGAUCUGUUGGGCGUACACUGCCAUGGCCAUUAUUGAGUUUGAAUUCAGAUAUAAAGGCUUGGACAUAAAACUCACAUAUAUCAUCACACAUGAAUUAUAUUAGUGGAUAUAAUUAUGUGAGAACAAGCAUGUGGUGUAUACAUGGAUGACCAUACGUAUUCCAAACCAUCUAAAAUAAGUAACUCGAAUCCUUGCAAAUCAAGAAAAACCCAAAUGGGAAACCAAUAAUGUGUCAAAACCAAAAGCAACUAGGAAUACAAUAAUUUCUCGAGGAUAAUGUUAGGAAGAUAAUUUUUAAGCUGAAUUUACAAAGCAAAUAAUGUGUCGUCAAUAAAAAAAAUAAGCACGUUAAUCAAUAUUAAGUAAUAAUCCAAUUAUCAACAUCCAUAUCAUUUGGUUUACAAAAUUUAGUUUAAAAUUUUAAUCUCUCAAGCAUUACCUUUUUCUCAAACUUUCAUGAAUUGAGUCUGUAACAUCCCGGUCCGGGCCCCCACCACAUCCCGGGCUCGACUCCGACGUAGCACGAUAUUGUCCGCUUUGGGCCCCGAUCACGCUCCCACAUUCUCAGUGGGUCACCUAUCAUGGGAUUGCUCUCGUGCGAACUUGCUUAACUUCGGACUUCUGAUGGAACUCGAAGUCAGUAAGCUCCCAAAAAGGCCUCGUGCUAGGUAGAGAUGAGAAUAUACAUAUAAGGCUUAUAGGAUCCACUCCUAUGGGCAAUGUGGGAUGUUACAAUCCACCCUCCUUAGGGGUCUAACGUCCUCAUCAAGGGAUUGGUUCGGACACCAAAUUGUCACAUCCCGACCUGGGCCCCCACCACAUCCCGGGCUCGACUCUGCCGUAGCACGAUAUUGUCUGCUUUGAGCCCCGACCACGCCCUCACGGUUUUUUUUUUUAGAACUCACGAGCAACUUCCCAGUGGGUCACCCAUCAUGGGAUUGCUCUCGCGAACUCGCUUAACUUCGGAGUUUCGAUAGAACUCAAAGCCAGUGAGCCCCAAAAGGUCUUGUGCUAGGUAGAGAUAGGAAUAUACAUAUAAGGCUUACAUGAUCCACUCCUCUAUAUGAUGUGGGAUGUUACAGAGUCAGACUCAACUAGACCUGGAUAUACACACACAUGUAUAUAUGCAUAACUUGGUCUCAUUACGUGUGUGGAAUAUGUCUUUUGAAUACAAUGAUAUUCAAAGUUAUUUUGACAAUGUUACGUAAAUGACUAGAUUUGAGAACGAGAAUGACCGGACGUCCUGACUCCACAAAGAUAAGUAACUCAAAUCCUUGCACAUCAAGAAAAACCUAGAUUGGAAAGAAAUAAUGUGUCCAGAACGAAAAGAAACAAGGAAGCAUAAUAUUUCUCAAAAUAUUGAUCAACUGAGCCGGACUCAGCCUAACAUGUUUCUUGAAUGUAUAGUGGAUUGCUAUUUGGCUAGGAAAAGAUUGAAAGGGAGUUGCUACAAGACACGUUUGUGUACAUUAUUUGCUACAAGACACGUUUGUGUACAUUAUACACAUCACAUUGUUUAUAAAUUUGAUCUAAAAAGUUGGUUUACCUAGUAUUACUCUUUGAUAAUAUUUGUUCUCAUUACUUGUGUGUAAAGGGAACUGCUAAUUUGUUUUUUGGAUACAAUGAAACCGAAUUAAUUCUAUUCUCUAACAAUAUUAUGCACUACCAAAGUUGAACUAAACAGAGUUAUAGAGACACGGUACUCAUGAAGGUAGAAGAGAAUGAAUUAAAGUAGUAUUCUUCCUUAUAUAUAGAGGAUUAAGUGUUAUUUUCCUUCAUUAUUAGAGGUAGUUUUAUUUGUAUAUGUUAGUUAUUAUUAGAUGCAUUUAUUGUUAAUUUUCGCCUUUAAAUUCCAGGAGGAGCGAAUAAGAUAUUUGUCCCUAAAACUAUUGUGGCUAUUACUAUAUCUGAACCUAAUAAUAGCAAUUUUCGCCCCUAUUGCUGUUCCUGCCAUGCUGACAGUUAAAACAAUAUAGUCAUACAAUUAAGCCCCUAUUGUAGUUAACUAUUAUAAUCAUUUAAAUUUAAUUCCCUUGUAAAUUAGAUUAAGGAACAAUUACACAUACAUCCAAAUUAUAAGACUAUAUUUUGGAGAAGGACAAAUUUUUUUAUUGAUCUUAAAGAGGGACAAAACUUAUCCAUGUCGCAUAAUGUCACGACUGAUUGGUUUUUUAAUUGUUUUUACAUUUAUAAUUUUACCCUUGUAUAAUUGAGAGAUGAGUCUAUCUCUUCGUUAGCACUAGUUCUCUCUCUCUCUCUCCUUCCUUUUCUUUGUGAUUUUCUCUCUAUGUUCCUUCUCUUCUUACCCGUCUCUCUCUUUCUUUCUCCACGUUCUUCCUACCUUUCUCUCUCUUUUUCUCACUCUCCUUGUCCGUCCUUAUUCUUCUCUCUUAUUUCUUCUUCCCUCCUCUCCUUCUUCUUGUUCCUAUUUUUCCUUAGACUCAUAAGUGGUUUCUUUUCUAAGAACGAUUAGGAUUUUUUUUUAUUCUCUUUUUUUUUUUUAAAAAAAAUUGAUUUUUAAGCUUUGAUUGAUUUGGAUGCAUGAAUUUUGAAACUGAUAUUGCAGAAAUGCAAGAAUUUUUUAAACUAAUCUUGCAGAAAUGUUGAAAAUUUGAAACUGAUCUUGCAGGAGUACUAAAAAAAUUGAAACUAAUCUUGUGAAAGUGCUGAAAUUUUGAAACUAAUGUUGUGAAGUGCUAAAAUUUUUGAAAGUAAUAUUGCAGAAAUACUGAAAAUUUAUAACUAUCUUACAGAAGUGCUGGAAUUUUGAAACAAUAAGUGCUAAAAACUUUGAAACUAAUAUUGCAGAAGUAUUGAAAUUUUGAAACUGAUCUUGUAAAAGUGCAGAAAAUUUUGAAACUGAUUUUACAAAAAUGAAGAAAAUUUUGCAACUGAUGGUGCAGAAGUGUUGGACUUUAAAAAUGAUCAUGCAUAAGUAAUAAAAAUUUUGAAACAUUUUUUUUUAUCAAGGUAAAAUUUUUGAAACUAAUGCACAUAGUACAAAGCUUGGAAGAAAAAGAACACAGCCAUACUACUAAAAAAUGUAUGAGAAAUUCAAUGUCAAAUUGUAGUCUGACCUAUCUAUACUCUAAAACUAUUAAGAUUUCACAAAUCACAAAAGGAGCACUAAACACCUGCAUAACCUGGCAAGUAUUCAGUUUGAUCACGAAUCAUAAUGAUAUUUUCACAAACUUAACCACUUGUACAACUCGACAUGUGUUGGAUUUUAUUACAAAAAGUAUCGUGCAAUUAAGAGUGAAACCAUUCAAUAUGAUUGCAAUUUAUUCUAUCAAGUUUUGAAUGUGGAAUUACAGUCUUCAACAAAAACCGGUAUAUUUGUGACAUGUCGUUCCCUUUAUUUUGAAAAAGUUUAAAAUACUUUUUAUUUUAUUUUAAGAAAAACACAAUAUUUCAUUCAUUGAUAAAGGCCUUUACAAAUAUUUAUCAUGAAGACCUCGGUCCCAAAAGAGUCCUUGCAAACUAGAUAUAAAAAUACUACAAUAAAGCAUCACUAAUCGCAAAGUAAUGAGUAUACUUCAAGCACUUGUCCAAACUCAUCGAAAACUGCACGAUUACACAAAUCAAUAAAACCGUUAAUUUUCGUGUUACACGAAGAUUAUGUGAGAACAAAAUCUCAAACCAUAAAUUGGAACAUGGACUACGAUGCCAAUGGGUCAAUCACAUCAUCUAACCACCCCCACAAUCCCUGAACACCAUAUGAAGUAAAUCCAGCAAAUCAAACAUCUCCAUCCUUUACACUUAGAUCCAAAAGAGGUAGCACACCCAAAAAAAAAAAUUUAAAUGAAGCAACUCUCCUAUAGAGAGAAAUCAAACUAGCAAACUCAAAUCAAACCAAAGUCCAAGACAAUUCUUGAAAAUUAUUAAAUAUAAACAAAAUAAAAGGAUAAAAUCAUGUCGCCGCACCGCAUCCUCUAGACAUCCGAAAGUCAUAUCACUACACCGGCUAAACCCAAGUGUCGUAGUGACUAAACUUGAUCCCUAUGCAAUUAGGCAUCUUCCAUGGUGACUAAAGUGUUUCACAGUGACAAUUCAACAUCAAAAUAGAAUAAACGGAAAUUGAGAAGGAAGAGACCAAGAAUGAUUUUCAAGCCGAUUGCCCCAACCCCCAAAGCCAAGGGCAGGUCUCGAUGGCAGAUGAAUUUUCCUGGGUUUUCCGGCUACGGUUUUUCGUCAGAUUUGUUAACAAUGUUAUACAAUGAAUUAUUUAAUAUCAUCCUAAACAAAACUUUACGGUACAAAUAAGUUUAAAAUACUUAAAUCCGUUUUCUUUCUGCAUUCUUCAACGUUGAAUUAAUAAUGACAUCGCAAGUCUCAAGCAAUUAAUUUUUGCAAGCUCACGACUAAUUAAUCUGAUUUUGUUCUUUUAAGUAAAGGUUAAUUAAUAGGACCAAUUAAUUGAUUUUCAAUGCGAAAAAAAGAAGAAAAAUAGCUAGAUGUUGCAACUGAUCGCAAAUCGUUAAACAAUAAAUUUGACAUCAAGACAACUUAACCAAAUGACUUUCGUUAGGAGGAUUGCUGAAGUUCUCUUUUGACUGCAGAGCUUUUGCUGUUGUACAACAUUGAGGGACACAAAUGUCUCUGGCUGUUGUACAACAUUGAGGAACACAAAUGUCUCUGCGACUAAUUAGCCACAUUGCUAUAUUUAUAUCAUCUUUGCCACACAAAAAUUACACUAUUGCUAACUCACUUCUCUUAUCUUGUACAUAAUUACAAAUGAGUCCAAGGUAUAUUUCCACGACUCACUUGUAUUAAAAAGUGUGUCAACAAUAAUAUCAAUUUAGUGUGCCUAAAUAUAAUUACCGAUACCAUAUCGACUUGCAACAUUUCAAUUUACAAAUUAAUUUAAACAGAGUAACAACAUGUAUUAUUUUUUUCUUCUAGAGCAACAACUAGUGUCUAUUUAAGAACUUGCAACGUUCUAAAUUAAUUGUUUUGAGAAAAAGAAACAGUUUUUAGGCAGGAAUAUUAUUUGUUAUUAUUACUUCUUUGCAACAUACUCUGUAAUUAAUUGGUCAUAAACAUUACGUUUUCUCAUCAUAAGGAAAAAAAAACAUUAUGCUUUCAAGAACUCAAGAAGAAAAUACCGCAGUAGAAAAAAUUGCAAGAUAAUGAAGGGACAAAGCUCUGCAACAAUACCCUUCAUUUUCCCAUUCCUUUUGCUCUUUAGUAGCACUGUUUAUUGUCUCACUCCUUUCUGUGCAUCUAUUGAUCCACCAAUAAAGGAUAUCCCUGAUCUCAAAUACACCCCCAUACCGCUUCCGAAACAUUCUCAACAAAUUCUCAAUGACUUCCUCGAAUGCCUUGCGGUAAAAUUUCAGUCCACCAACCACCCUAUCAUGGAAGCCAUUUACACCCCACAAAAUACCUCAUUUCACCAAGUUUUGCUGGCACACACUAAAAACCGCAGAUACACAACGCUUGAUACUCCAAAACCUUUGGCUAUUGUAGCAGCCAAGCACGAACGCCAUGUGCAAGCAACCGUAAUUUGCGCAAAACAACAUGGGUUGCAGAUUAGAAUCCGAAGUGGUGGCCAUGAUUAUGAAGGUCUAUCAUACGUAUCGGAUGUACCCUUUGUCAUUCUUGACAUGUUCAAUCUUCGAUCCAUUGAUGUUAAUGUGACGGAAGGGAGGGUUUGGGUUCAGUCAGGGGCUACAAUUGGUGAACUUUAUUAUGAAGUUGGAAAGAAAAGUAGGGUUCAUGGGUUUGCAGCUGGAUCUUGUCCAAGUGUCGGUAUUGGUGGUCACUUUAGUGGUGGUGGGUAUGGUCCUUUGUUGAGAAAAUAUGGGCUUACAGUGGAUAAUAUUGAAGAUGCUAGACUAGUUAAUGUGAAUGGUGAAAUCCUUGAUCGAAUGUCAAUGGGAGAAGAUCUAUUUUGGGCCAUUAGAGGAGGUGGUGGAGCAAGCUUUGGAGUCAUUCUUUCGUGGAAGAUCAAAUUGCUUCCAGUUCCAGCCCAAGUGACUGUGUUUCAGGUAGAAAGGACGCUGGAACAAGGCGCUAAGGAUGUGGUUCAUCGAUGGCAAUACGUUGCACCUAAGCUCCCUGAAGACCUCUUCAUUAGAACAGCAAUAAAAACCAAGAAUGGCUCCCAAGAGGGCACGAAGGCUGCGGUAGCAAUAUUCUCUUGUCAAUUUCUGGGACGAGCAGACAAGCUUCUUCAAUUGAUGAAUGAAAGUUUCCCUGAGUUGGGUUUACAGCAAAAAGACUGCUUUGAAAUGAGUUGGGAAGAAUCCAUGAUAUUCUUGGCUGGUUGCCCAGUUGGAACUCCCCUAGAAGUUCUACUUUCUAGGCCAAAAUUGCCAGUAAUUUUCUUCAAAAGUAAGUCCGACUACGUGAAAAAACCAAUUCCAAAACAUGGUUGGAAAUCUUUAUGGAAAAAUCUGAUUACGAUAGAUCACUUGUUAGUGCAAUUGAACCCUUACGGCGGAAGAAUGAGUGAGAUUUCUGAAUCAGGAACUCCAUUCCCUCACAGAGCUGGAAAUCUGUUUUCAGUUCAGUACUUUAUUUCUUGGAAGGAAGAACAGAUUGAGACCAUCAAGCGGAAUAUUCAUAGGUCAAGAAAGUUGUACAAAAGUAUGGCUCCAUAUGUCUCCCAGAACCCAAGAGAGGCUUUGCAAAACUAUAGGGAUCUUGACAUAGGUGCCAAUCUGCACAACCGGACUAACUUUCGAACAGCCAGACGUUAUGGUAGCAAAUAUUUCAAGGGUAACUUUGAUAGAUUGGUACGUGUGAAAACUAUGGUAGAUCCCCAUAAUUUUUUCCACCAUGAACAAAGUAUUCCUCCCCUUUAAAAAUUACAGAGAAUCAUAAAGUCAAUUGCAUUGGUAAUGUACCAACAAACUUGUAGGUAAGGAUACAACAGGGUAAAGUGGGCAAAAAACAUACAAGCAAUUGGAGUUAUGAAAUUAAAAUUUCUUAUUAGUAUGGCGUUUCCUAUGACACAAUUGAUUAGUUCUGAGAGUUUUGAUCUCUGACAUGAUCUUGAUAGUACUAGAUUCAUUGGCUUCAAUGGAUCCUUCAUCAGUUUCAGUUUCUUGCAAUAUUUAGGAUUAGUUGUUAAUUAACUUUUGUUGAUGCACAAAACCGGAGGUCUUGGAACAACGUAAUUCCGACCGUGAAUCUGCUAGAAAGUAAAGAACACAAGGUGUAUCGUGGUUCAUCCCAAUGUUUGGGCUACGUCCACACUGAUGUUGAUAUUGUUUUACUCUGAAUGGUGAAUAUACAAGAAGGCUAGAGGCAGUGUGCUCUCUAGCCUAUUUUCUGUGUUUGCCCUCUCUGAGAUGUUUUCUCUCUUCCCAUGGCCUAAACCUUGACCUAUCCUAAUGAGGAGAGUGAUGAGUCCUUUUAUAGAAUAAGGGCUCCUCACUUAUUAUAUAUUUGCCCAUUCAUUUAUUACAUAAUUACAUUUGAGUCCCCUGAGUAUUUAUACGAGGUCUAAAUACGGAGGCCCUAAAUAUGGUACAAAUAGUAGUCCCCUAAGUCUUCAGUCAAGAGAGUCUUUUGGCUUAAGACUUGAAAUUCAGUCCAUGUGUGGGCCGAAGUAACUAGAUGUUGUCUAGAACUGAUACUCGAUAUGAAGUGGUGCUCAAUGUGAAAUGAUGCUCAACUAGAAGUAGGACAUGUUGCAAGGCUGCUCGGCUUGUGGCUUAUGUUGCAUUGGUUGGCUCUGCUUGUGGCGUUGAAGGUGAGAGAGUCCCUUUUAUAGAAUAAGGCAUCGCUCCUCAAUACAUAAAUGAUGGGCUAGAGUUGAUGCUCGCGGCAAGACGGUUGCUCAGCAGGCGGCGAUGCUCUCUAAUGAUGGUGAGGGGGUCCUUUUUAUAGAAUAAGGGCUCGCUCCUCAAUACAUAAAUGAUGGGUUAGGAGUGAUGCUCGCUGCGAUGCCGUUGUUCAGCUGGCGGCGAUGCUCUAUAAUGAAGGUGAGGAAGUCUCUUUUAUAGAAUAAAUGUUCGCUUCUCAAUACAUAAGUGGUGGGUUAUGAGUGAUGCAGGCGGCGAGGCUGUUGCUCAACUAGUGGCGAGGUUGUUGCUCAGCUGGCGGCGAUGCUCUCUAAUGAAGGUGAGGGAGUCAUUUUUAUAAAAUAAGGGUUCGCUCCUCAAUACAUAAGUGAUGGGCUAAGAGUCUUUCUUUAAUGAAGGUGAGGGAGUCCCUUUUAUAAAAUAAGGGUUCGCUCCUCAAUACAUGAAUAAUGGGUGCUCUCUAAUGAAAGUGAGGGAGUUCCUUUUAUAGAAUAAAGGUUCACUCCUCAGUAUAUAAAUAAUGGGCUAAGUCCCCCAAGUAUUUUUCAUGAGGCCCAGUUGCGGAAGCCCAAUAUAUGGUACAUAGUGUAGUCCCCCAAGUCUUCAGUCAAUAUAGUAUGUUGGCUGGAGACUUCAAAUUCAAUCUAUGUAUGGGCUGAAGUAGCGGUUGUUCAGAUGCGGUCUUUGUAUACUAUGCACUGAAGCUUUGUAGGUGAGGCUUUGAAAGUAAAGCUUUGAAGCUAGAGCUUUGUAAAUGAAGCUUUUGAAGCUGAAGCUUUUGUAAAUGAAGCUUUUGAAUGUUGCUUGACAUGAGUGAUGCUCAUAGAUGUUGACAUGAGUGAUGCUCAUGAAUGUUUAUGUAUGAUUGACAUGAGUGAUGCUCAUGUAUGAUGAUGAUUGUCAUGAGUGAUGCUCAUGUAUGAUUUUUUUGGAGUACUGGACGUACUUUUGAUCACUUAGUUGGUGAUAAUAGAGGGUGAACCUUAAGUGGAGGGAUGGAGGUUGGAGUUUGAAGUCAUAGGGCCUGACUCUUUUUGGCAUAUGGGCAUUCGCCCUCCACAUAACAUUUCAUCCCACUAGUUUGGGCUUGUCGACAGUUUGCCUUUAUUUUUAUUUUUGGCAUGCUGCCUUCUUUACACAUCAGUAUAACUAUUCAAUAAUUGCUCCAAUUUGCAGAAGACAACUUAAUAAAAUAUUCAUCAAUGACAGUGGGUAUGGGCUGUAAAGAUAAGAGUCUUAUCUUUGUGGUUGUUUUCUCUGAGUGCGAAUGGAUGAUUGAGUGUGGCAGAGGAGAGACAUGUGCAUGGUGGGAAUGAUGCUCAAUGUCUUAUCUUUGAAGAUUUGCAGGCAUGCCUUAAAACAAACACAUCCAUAGCUUUUCCAUACCGUCCACCUUCAAAUUAUGCAGCAAAUUAGUCUCUUUAAAUACACCCACUUGCUCAUUUUCUUGUAGCUUUUUCAGAAUAUUCAGAGCAUGCUCCUUUGCAAAUUUGCAUGCUUGCUUUACAGCAAACACAUCCAUAACUUUUCCAGGCUGUCGACAAAAGCCAUUUUGCAUAAUAAAGUUCUUAUCUCUAUUUUCCCCCAGACAGUGAAGAUGGCAGCAUGUGACCAGCCGUAAUCAUGCCCUCCGCCAUCUGUAGAUGACAACAGAUCAUCAAUGCCAGUCCUUCCCACCUUGGCCGAUAAGAUUUGCAUCGACACCAACAACUUGGUAUAAAUGCCUUCACUUAGUUCAAUAAUCCCAGUUGUUUACGUUGGAUCACCACCAAGAGUACUAAGAGCGUGGUUUGCAACAAAACAAGCAUAUAAUCCUUCAUCAGAUCCUAACUUUUGCUAUUGCUGCUGCUUUCAGAUUCAUCGUCUUCGAGUUUUCGUCGUAGAGCUUCAGUCUUGAUCUCAUCCAGAAGGUCGUCUGCAGCAUACAGAGCAUCUUUGAGUUCGUCGAGCCACUCCCUCAUAGCUGGGUUUUUGAACUGCUUCUCAUCUGCAUCAUCAAGAACCGAAUUAACUAAGCAGCUUAAUCUUCAACUUCUUGAGCAGUCCGCUGAUGAUCUUUUGUCUGCGGAUGAAGUCGACGAUGGGACGGGAGGCCAGCCUAUCAAAUAAGACAGAGAGAAAGGAAGAGAGAAGAACACCGCCCAUAACUUCUAUCGCCAUGGAUUUCAAUCUUCUGAUGGAUGGGAAGUUAAAAGAAAUUGGAUCGGGUGAGGGCGCGGUACCAGAACUUGCAAACCAAUAAGGCCCUACUGCGGUCGCGGCGGGAGGUGAGGAAGCAGAUGACGUUUUGCAGAACGUUCUCGAGGACUUGGUCCGAGUAGGGGACAAUAUACUCGACAGAGGUACCUACGCCAGAGCCGAAUACUCGAGAGAACUUGGCCGAGAAAGCUGAGUGUUUUUUGGUGACAAAAUUUUCUUCUUUUUUUUUGUGCACUUUCGCUUCUGUGUGUGUACAAGAAACUAGAGAGAACACAGAAGACUAGAGGGGAGAGAGAUAGAGGUGGUGAGGUUUUGGGUUUUGCAAUGACUGUGCACGUGUUUGGUUCUUGGGUUUCUGCAGAUUCACGGUGGAUAUUGUGGUGAGGUUUCACGGUGGUGAGAUGAAAAAAUGAAAAAGAACCGACAUAGUUUUUCGUGUCGUUUCCCACAGAUGGCGCCAAAUGUCACUACUACAAUAUUAGCUUUAGGUGUCGAACGAUUCUGGCGGUUAAUAAGUCAUUCUGAUGGAUAAAAGAUAUCCGACACAUAAUUUAUUUACUGUCGGAUUAAAGUUAAUUUUUGUCGGAUAUAUCCGACAUAAAUUACUAGCGGAUUUAACCGCCAUAAAAUUAUUAUAACUCUCAGUAUUUUGAAUUCUUUUUUUUUUUAAAUAUUUUUAACAUAUUCUGGCGAUUAUAACCGACAUAAAUUGACUAUUUUAUUAUUUUAAAAUGUUACAUUGAUUAAAAUAAAUAAACAAAUGGUUUAAUUUUUUUUUUCACUCACAGUCCCGUUACCUAAUCUCUGAAUGUUUUUUUUUUUUGCAAUUUUUUACACAUGCUAUCUCGGAGUAUAUACAAACAUAUUUGACUGUUGGAUCGUUGAAACUAGUUUCGUAGAAUGCAUAUCCUAUCAAAUUGAUAGAUUUAACAAACACUUAAGAGUUAAUGUUAUACUUCCAUUAAGUAUAAAAAAUUAUCCACUGGUAUAAAUAUUUUAAAUUGAAGAUCGAAUUCGUUCAAUGCAUUAUUAUAGGGUCGAGGAGUGUAGCUAUAAAAAAUCAUCAAAAUCAGAGCUAAAAUAACUGUUAAAUUAUGAUUUUUUGUUUAUAACCAUUGAACAUUUUUGUUUCGUUACCUAAUCUCUGAAUGUUUGUUUUUUACGAUUUUUUACGUAUGCAAUCUCAGAGUGUGUACAAAUAAGUUUGAUGGUUGGAUCGUUGAAAAACGUUUCGUAGAAUGCAUAUUGCAUCAAAACUAUAGAUUAAACAAACACUUAGAGUUAAUAUUAUACUUCUAUUAACUAUAAAAUAAGAUUUUGUGGUAUCCACUAAUGUAAAUAUUUUAAAUUGAAGAUCAAAUUUAUUCAUUGCAUUCUUAUAGGGUUGAGGAGUGUAGCUGUAAAAAAUCAUCAAAAUCGGAGUUAAAAUAAUAGUUAAAUUGUGAUUUUUCUUUUAUAACCGUCGAAAACUUUUGUUCCGUUACCUAAUCUCCGAAUGUUUGUUUUUUAUGAUUUUUACGUAUGCAAUCUCGGAGUGUGUGCAAAUAAGUUUGACGGUUGGAUCGUUGAAAAAAGUUUCGUAGAAUGCAUAUUGCAUCAAAACUGUAGAUUAAACAAACACUUAGAGUUAAUAUUAUAAAAUAAGAUUUUGUGGUAUCCACUAGUGCAAAUAUUUUAAAUUAAGGAUUGAAUUUAUUCAUUACAUUCUUAUAGGGUCGAUGAGUGUAUAUGUAAAAAAUUAUCAAAAUCGGAGCUAAAAUAACCAUUAAAUUGUGAUUUUUCGUUUAUAACUGUCGAAAACUUUUGCUCCGCUACGUAAUCUAUGAAUCUUUGUUUUUACAAUUUUUUACGUAUGCAAUCUUGGACUGUGUACAAAUAAGUUUGACGGUUGGAUCGUUGAAAAACGUUUCGUAAAAUGCAUAUUGCAUCAAAACGGUAGAUUAAACAAACACUUAGAGUUAAUAUUAUAAAAUAAGAUUUUGUGGUAUCCACUAGUGCAAAUAUUUUAAAUUAAGGAUUGAAUUUAUUCAUUACAUUCUUAUAGGGUCGAUGAGUGUAUCUGUAAAAAAUUAUCAAAAUCGGAGCUAAAAUAACAAUUAAAUUGUGAUUUUUCGUUUAUAACUGUCGAAAACUUUUGCUCCGCUACGUAAUCUAUGAAUCUUUGUUUUUACAAUUUUUUACGUAUGCAAUCUUGGAAUGUGUACAAAUAUGUUUGACGGUUGGAUCGUUGAAAAACGUUUCGUAGAAUGUAUAUUGCGUCAAAACGGUAGAUUAAACAAACACUUAGAGUUAAUAUUAUACUAUUAUUAAGUAUAAAAUAAGAUUUUGUGGUAUCCACUAGUGCAAAUAUUUUAAAUUAAAGAUCGAAUUUAUUCAUUACAUUCUUAUAGGCUCGAGGAGUGUAUCUGUAAAAAAUCAUCAAAAUCGGACCUAAAAUAGCCGUUAAAUUGUGAUUUUUCAUUUAUAACUGUCGAAAAUAUUUGCUCCGUUACAUAAUCUUUGAAUCUUUGUUUUUUACGAUUUUUUACGUAUGCAAUCUCGGGCUGUGUACAAAUAAGUUUGACGGUUGGAUCGUUGAAAAAAGUUUCGUAGAAUGCAUAUUGCGUCAAACGGUAGAUUAAACAAAUACUUAGAAUUAAUAUUUUACUAUUAUUAAGUAUAAAACAAGAUUUUGUGGUAUCCUCUAGUACAAAUAGUUUAAAUUAAAGAUCGAAUUUAUUCAUUACAUUCUUAUAGGGUUGAGGAGUGUAGCUGUAAAAAAUCAUCAAAAUCGGAGCUAAAAUAACCGUUAAAUUGUGAUUUUUCGUUUGACCGUCGAAAACUUUUGCUCCGUUACGUAAUCUCUGAAUUUUUUUUUUACGAUUUUUUACGUAUGCAAUCUCGGACUGUGUACAAAUAAGUUUGAUGGUUGGAUCGUUGAAAAAAGUUUCGUAUAAUGCAUAUUGCGUCAAAACGAUAGAUUAAACAAAAACUUAGAGUUAAUAUUAUACUUCUAUUAAGUAUAAAAUAAGAUUUUGUGGUAUCUACUAGUGUAAAUAUUUUAAAUUAAAGAUCGAAUUUAUUCAUUACAUUCUUUUAGGGUCGAGGAGUGUAUCUGUAAAAAAUCAUCAAAAUCGAAGCUAAAAUAACCGUUAAAUUGUGAUUUUUCGUUUAUAACUGUCGAAAACUUUUGCUCCGUUACAUAAUCUCUGAAUCUUUUUUUUUUUAUGAUUUUUUACGUAUACAAUCUCGGAUUAUGUACAAAUAAAUUUGACGGUUGGAUCGUUGAAAAAAGUUUCGUAGAAUGCAUAUUGCGUCAAAACGGUAGAUUAAACAAACACUUAAAGUUAAUAUUAUACUAUUAUUAAGUAUAAAAUAAGAUUUUAUGGUAUCCACUAGUGCAAAUAUUUUAAAUUAAAGAUCGAAUUUAUUCAUUACAUUCUUAUAGGGUCGCGGAGUGUAACUGUAAAAAAUCAUCAAAAUCAGAGCUAAAAUAACCGUUAAAUUGUGAUUUUUCGUUUAUAACUGUCGAAAACUUUUGUUCCGUUUCGAAAUCUCUGGAUGUUUGUUUUUUACGAUUUUUUACAUAUGCUAUCUUGUAGUAUCUACAAACAAGUUUGACGGUUAGAUCAUGAAAACUAGUUUCGUAAAAUGCAUAAGUUUGCCAAAAUUUUGAAGUGGGAAAAGUAAUUUGUGCUAAAUUUUUAUUUAUGUUUUUCUAGUAUUGAUUAGACAAUAUUUAGUUUGUGUGAAGACAUUUUCAUUGUACAAUUCUCUUUUUGUUUUUUUAUCGCAUAUUUUACAUAGAUUAUUAUCUAUUAAACCAAAAAUGUAAAAAUUAUCUAUUAAACCAAACAAUUAUUUAUUUAAAUUUAAAAAACAUAUUAUAUUUAAAUACAUAUUAUUUAUUUAUUUAUUAAACCAAACAACUAUUGACACACUCCGAUCCUAGAAUCAAGGCGUGUUCUAAAUUUUGGGUCGCUUUUCUGGAAGCUCUGAUACCAAACUGACACACCCCGAUCCUAGAAUCAAGGCGUGUUGGCUACGUCACGCUCACGUGACGGCCAGUACGCCUUGAUUCUAGGAUCGGGGUGUGUCAACUAUUAUUUUAUUUUUUUAAAUCGUAACAAAAUUUGGGGGGGGGGGAUUUUGGGGGGAAUGUUGACGCCAUUUUUUUGCUAUCGGUUAAAACCGACAUUAAUGAGAAUUUUCUAUCGGGUUUUUAUUUUUAAAAAACAUUUCUGUCGAUUUUAACCGAUAGUAAUGAACAUUUCCACAUUAUAACCCCUUCAUCUCUUCCUUGCACCCGUGCUUCUCCCUUCCCCAUUUUCUCCUCUUCUCAUUUCCUUCUCCUUCUCUUCUCUCCUCUCCUCAUUUACUUCCACUUCGAACACUUGCAACCAAAGUUCAUUAGCUAUCUCGAAUAUGGCGAAGAAGAAGGUAACACUCUCGCUCUCGCUCUUUCUCUUUCUCUCCAUCUGUGUCUCUCUCUCUGUGUCUCUCAUAUGGCGAAUAAUUUUGUGUCGUUUGUUUCAGUGGGUUGCAAAGCUAUUCGUUUCCUUCUGUUCCCAACAAUAAAGAUGAGAUUUUUCAGCUGCUUUUGUAAAUUACACAGCUACCCAAGACUUGCCCAGUUUGCUAUUUUUGUAUUUUAUCAUGUUUUUGUGAUUUUUUAGUGGAUCUGUCACUCCCAAAUGAUUAUCCAAUGAUUGUAGCUACACCCAUUUUGUCCAUUUCUCCAAAUGGAUCUUGUAUGAUUUCACCUGAUUGUGUUAGAAAUCAUUAGUUUUUUGGUGAAAGAUUAUGUUGGAAAUUAGUGUGAUCAUUUUUACCUUGAGGGAGUUGACCAAAUGUGAAACUAGCUGUUGUGGUUAAAUAUUUGGUGAAUUUAGAUUGAACUUGAAGAUCAUGUAACUCAAGGCAGCACUUGGCCCUCUGUUUGGACGCAAUUUGAAGUACUGCACCGAUGGAUGCCUUCGGAGAUAUUUGGAAGCUCGGAGCUGGAAUCUUGAGAAGGCGAAGAAAAUGGUUGAAGAGACACUGAAGUGGAGGGCAACUUAUAAGCCUGAAGAACCCGUUAGGUAAGUUGGAUGAACUUUUAUGAUAUUCACAAACUAGAAAUAGAUAUAUUUGUAGGAUGUUUGUUUCUCUUGAUACGUUGGCAAUUCUGCUUGAGCAUAAACUAAUCAACGUUUGAGUUUUGUAUAUUUUGUUUUCAUCAAAUAUAUGGCAGAAUCAAAACUUAAUAUGGACUCAGAUGGUGUUCUCCAACCACAUUGCGUGUGAAUUGCGUUCGUUUAAUUCAUUUGCAUCAUCUGCAGCUUACUUCUAUGCAUUGCACAAGCUAUCGCCCGUCAUACUUCUUGCCUAGAACUUUAAGGGCCCUGAAGUUUUCGAGAUCGAGCUCCGGCGAGGUUUUGGAUGAUGAAUGCAGAAAUAUUUUUUUAUUAUUAAUAUAUUUUCUGUCGGUUUUAUGCGACAAGAAUGAUUUUAUUCGUUUUUAUAAUAAAUUAUCUGUCGGAUAUAACCGACAGAAAUACUGUCGGUUUUAGUAUUUUUUGUUGGUUUUAUCCGACAGAUAUUAUAAUAAAUAAAUAUAUAUCCUGUCGGUUUUAAAGUAUUUUUUGUCGGAAAAUUCAUUUUCUGACGCAGGCAAUUAUGUCGCUUAUUAUAUCCGUCACUGUAUCCAUUUUCUGUCGGAUUUUGCUUAAAAUCCAACAGUAAUAUAAAUUUUUUGUCGGUUUUUGAACCGCCAGUUAUAGUUAAUUUUGUAGUAGUGUGUUGAUGCACAAAACCGGAGGUCUUGAAACAACGUAAAUCUGACCGUGAAUCUGCUAGAAAGUAAAGAACACAAGAUAUCGUAGUUCACCCCAAUGUUUGGGCUACGUCCACACUGAUGUUGAUAUUGUUUCACUCUGAAUGGUGAAUAUACAAGAAGGCUAGAGGCAAUGUGCUCUCUGACCUAUUUUUUGUGUUUGCCCUAUCUGAGAUUCUUUCUCUCUUCCCAUGGCCUAAACCUUGACCUCUCCUAAUGAGGAGAGUGAGGAGUCCUUUUAUAGAAUAAGGACUCCCCACUUAUUACAUAUUUGCCCAUUCAUUUAUUACAUAAUUACAUUUGAGUCUCCCGAGUAUUUAUACGAGGUCUAAAUACGGAGGCCCUAAAUAUGGUACAAACAACUUUCAUUUUUGUUUUUUGUUUUUGUGUAAGGACCCUCUGACCGGGAGUCAUGUUCUUCACUUUGUUUUAAAUCUUAAAUCAUCUCCUUUCAUGAAUAAAAUGUCUCUCGUUAAUAAAAAAAUUAUGACAUUCAAACAAAUUGAAAAUUAAUACAGUUAAUUGUUGAAAGUAGUGGACUGCUCUGGUGUUAUUCUUUUGACCCCUUUAAUGAAGUUAUUUUCUAAGCAAAAAUAAAAAUAAAAUUAAAACCAACACGCAAUGUACUGCCACAUCGUCACUUGCACAAGCUUUCACUCAUAACAUGCUCAAUUCCCUUAUCUUUCUCUCCAUCUAUUUCGUAAUUUUUUGUUCUUUUUUUAUUUUCCUCCUUUCUCUCUACUCUCACCCCUAACCACUCUCUCUAUCCCGUCUCCUCUCACCCGUCCUCACUCACCUCUUCCUUUAUGUGUCAUGUCACUCGGUUUGUACUAGGGGUGGGUAUGGUUCCAAUCGGUUCGGUAUUUUGCUAAAAUAAAAACCAAACCGAAUUUUUUAUUCGGUUCCGGUCGGUUCAAAUUUUUUCGAUUUUUAUUCGAUUCGGUUUUUUCGGUUUUUUUCUGUCUGGUUUCAGUUCAGUUCUUUUUUUUUGUUUUUUGGGUCGUAAACAACUGAAAAUCAACCCAUUGUGUAGAGGUUUUAAUUUGAAAUGAAAAAUCAUGCUAGAGCUUAAAUGUUUUAGACUCAAACAAAUUUUUGAAGAUUUCUAACUGUGUUCUGGUGAUAAAAUUCGCUUUGGUUAAGGGGAAUAACUAACAAAGAAGAAUAAAAUUACGAGGUUCCUCAAUGAACGUAAAUAUUCAUCAUCAAUUGAAAGUGGCUACACCAAAAGAAAAUGGCCAAAGAAGAAUAUGUGUCAAGUUAAUUUCCCAUCACCAAAAUUUACGUUCAUUGAGGUUCCUACUAAACCGACCAAACUGCACCGACGGUUUCGUUUGUUUUUUUUUUUGUUUUUUUUUUCGGUAUGUAAACCAAACCUUCCCGUGUGCUUGCUUUUAUUUGUUUUAAUCAUAAUAGACAUACCAUGUACCCACCACAACAAAACAAACACUACAAAAAAUAUGGGCAUUGCACACAAUAAAUUAUUUGUGUCCAUUGAGCCAAAGAGCACCAACAUAUGUGCCCAUAAACCAAUAGCAAUAGUGCGGCAACUAUAAUAUUGUUUGUGCCCUCUAUAGGCAUGUCCUUUGGUAAUAAGGCACAAUAUUGCUUUUGUGCUCCCAAGAGAAAGCAUAAAUGACAACCUAUUUGUGUAUUAAUUAUGACAAGCAUGUCAAAUGAUCUACAAUCAUGCGCACAGUUUUCAAAUCAUGCCCGAUAGGGUCUAUUUAAAAAAUAAAUAAAAAUUUGAAACAAAACAAAAAAUUCUAAAUUUUCAUAAAAUCAACAAAUCCCACAAUAUACAUGUAUUUCAGUUAUUUACAACAAAUCCCACAUAUUUACAACCAAGCCCUCCUGCAUAAUCCUAUCCUCCCCUACUGCAGUCGUUGGACCCAAGUUCUUCAUGCAAUGUAACUUAACCACAUUCCCUUCUUGCCUAUAAGGAAUCUUAGUAAGAAGCCUAGAGUAAGAAAUAUUUAUAAGCAUUCAUUUCAUUAAGAUUAUCGCAUGCAAACCGUUCUCGUCUCCCAAGGAAUUAAGGACAUAAUGACAUUAGCAAUUAUUGAAAAACCAACCUAAUUUGUGCACUCAUAUAUAUUUCCUUUACCAUGAGCCAUUUGAUCAUUCUCCUCAUCAACAAAUAGAUCCCUAACAUUGUUAUCAGUUAUACCAACGAACUUGCCCAAAACUUCAGGGCCAUUAACAAUCUAGCACAGUUCACAAGAACAGAAAUCUCAUCAAUCACCAAUGCAAACAACUAACUUAUACAAGGAUAAGUUGCAUAUCAAAUAGCUUUGGAACCUUAAAAUAAUGUACUAGCAUCAAAAUUAUGUGUUAAAUCGGCAUGGUUCAAUGUUUACAGCUGGCAGAACUUAAUCGAUUCAUUACCUAAGCCUAUUGUGAAAAAUAAGAAUACAAGAUUGUGACAAUGAAAUACCUAGUUCUUAAUUUCAUCUCAGAUUCAUGUGUCAUCAAUUGGUUAAGUCUUAUUUGAAAUUAAGGCUGAAACAUAGAAAAGUAAUCAUUCAAACGAACACAACAAAUUCUUAGUCCUAAGAGAAUUGCAACUCUCAGAGAUUUGAUUAUUAAAGAAAAGGUGGAUCAAACUCCAAACCUUUAGUCCUUUCCCGUUCAACAUCUUUCUGAUUUGACACGCCAUAAGAGAAAACAAAAAGAGGCCAUAAUUCAAAUAACACACUAGUUUGAGAAAAAAAGAAAGCAUCAAAUGUUGCGUAAUGGAUAUGAUCCAAAGUCCAAACGCAUCCAAAUUCAUACGUGCAUAAUGUUCGUUCUUUUUCUUUCUUUUGAAAAUUAGACUCUGAAACUUCCCAAAAUAUUAACACUUUUAAUGAUUUCAUUAAUUGUGUUUAUUAAGCACUAUUAGUAUACUAAUACAAAACAUAGAAAACUAAAUAUCAUGAGUAAAACCUACUUAUAUUUCAUGUAAGGCUCCAAAUACCUUAUGUAGGACUUUUGUAUCUCAAGUAUAAACAUUAGCAAGCUGUAAGAACUUCACUCCAUUUAUCUCAUUCCAUAGAGUACCUAUAACUUUCAACAUCAUAGAUGCACAUUUGUACCUGAGAACUAUUCAGGGGAGCUUCCAUUGUGGGUCGAGUGCCCUAUACCUUUUUUUCAUAGUUCACCAACGAGUUAUCUAAAGAAUUUAACAGCCAAUAUAUAACUUUAUGAAUAAUGAGAAUCACAAAUUUGAUUAUGUAAUGAGCGGUAUAAAUGAUAAAUAUCACAUUAUCAUUCAAGACAAAAAAUAUGAGCCAUUUUUCAAUCUCUUUCUGAAAACUCAAAAGGACUCAAUUUCAGAACGGUUUUUUUUUUUUCCACCCAUAUGCACAUUUUGGGUUUCAUUACUCUCCUCGCAUCAAUUUAAAAGGUACAUAAUUUCCAGUUUCAUAUAUAAAUAAGAUAAUUAUCACAAAUGUUGUCAAUCUAAUCAAAUAAUAAAUGUAAAGACAAAUACCAAAGCAUCUGUAAACAUACGCAGAUAAAAAAAUCCAAUAACAAGACAUACCGCUAUAGGGAAUGCCACACUACAAGGAAAAUUUACGCACGGCCUUGACAUCAUCGGAACAAGCCCAAUGGUAGUGCACACAUUGUAACCUGCAAUUACCGCUUGAUUCACUUUAGAAAUUAAAUGCAGUCUUCCAAUGUAGAACAAUUUUCAAUCCAAAUUAAAUGAGAAACGCUUCACCCUCUCCUGCAGAGUUCCAUCAAUUAGACCCCAACAAAAUUAGCAUAUUUAUGUUUAUAUUACUGAAAAUAUGAUUUUAGCCCUUCCAACUCAAUUUUCUUCAUAUAAAACCCUACAUAACUUUUUUACUCAAAGAAAACCCAAUGACUAGGAUCCACAUAAGCAAAUUCAUUAAUUUCAUAUUAAUUCACACAUUUUACAUUUUUCACAUUCCUAAAAUACCCCUAUUACAUAUUUGAUGUAGACAAUUAAUUGUGAGGAGAGAGUAAAUGAUUUUGCAACAAGAAAAAAAAAGACAUUAAUGUUAAAAAUUUAUUGCAUAUUAAUUUUUUAGAAAGACUUUGAAUUUUCAUAAAACUAUUCGAUUCGGUUUUUUUCACCCUACUCUUGAAUACUUUUGAAUUUAUCCUUUUUUUAUUAAUAUAUUAGAACAUUGUAUUUCAUUAUCUACAUGCACAUUAAUUUACCUACAACAAUUAUACCAUGGGUGUAAUAUAAUAUCUCUUUUUUACAAUGAUGCAAAAUAAUGUUUAUACCAACAACAAAACGUGCCUAACAUAUGUACUAAUACAUGAAAAAUAAUUUACCUAUAUUAAGAAGAAAUGUAGUUCGAUGCAUAGUAUUAAAAAUACUAUGUUACACCCAUGUUUAUACAACAAUAAAAUGUGCCUAACAUAUCUAACAAUACAUGGAAAAUAAUUUACCUACAAGUUAGAUAAAUGUUAUUUGGUUGGGUGUAGUAUAAUUUUUUUAAUAAUUGGAAAAAUUAAAUAUAACUAGGUGCAGUGUAAUUUUUUAUAUAUAAUUAGAACAAAUUAAUUUACCUACCUACUAUUUGAAAUGUUCAUUUCUAAUGAUGCAAAAUGUCACAGCCCGUCCCAAAGUUUUACACUCGUGAUUGUAAAUUGACGGAAUUGCCCUUAAACGUGAUUAAGAUAUGUGAAUUAUAUAUUGGUGAAAUAUAUGUUCCUAAGUUAUUUGGAUAUGGAAUUUUGUGAUUUGGGGUUAGGUAGGACCACACACCUCAAAUCCCUCCCUAUUUCCCGUACCCUGUCUCUCUCUCUCCUCCCUCACAAUCUCUCAUUCUCUGUCUCUCUCCUUCGAACUCAAACGGACGAGACCCAAAGACCGUCGAAACUUCCACCAACGACGGAGUUAAGACCACCAUCAAACUCCUGGAACCUCCACGAUCAUGAUGGUAUCCAUUUCAAGUAAGUUUUGCUUCGGAAAACCCUAGUUUCAAAGUUCCCGUGAAAUGGUACUGUUCAUGAUCUUCUAAAUGACUACGUUUUAGGCUAAAACAAGAUCACAGCGAGCUUAGUGAGGUCCCAAGGAAGCUCGGAGUGCUUCGUUGGAAGUUUUUGGACGUAAGAACACGGAGAUCGACAAGUUCAAAGUUUGGCCGGAGCUUUCGAGGAAUUUUCCGGCGAAUCCCCGGUGAGUUAGGAGUCGAGGUAGGUAUCCAUCUCUUCGUCUCGUCAAGUACUACAACUUUCCUUUUUGUUUCACUCAAUUUCGUUGAGUAUUGAAGAAGUUAUACUCAUUUGAAAAAUACCCAGUUUCCGGCGACCUCCGAGGCUUUCGAGGCAGUUUCCGGCCAAACCACGGCGAACUAGGUGUUGUGCAAGGUACCAUUCUCUUUGUCUCUUCAAGGGCUACAACUUUCGUUUUUGAAUCACUUGAUUUCGUUGAGAAAUGACAAAGUUAUGGCAAUUUGAAAAACUGCCCAGAAACGGCCGCCGGAAAAACCAGUCCGGCGACCCAAGGAAGAAGAAGGUGCGCGUGGGGGCGCGUGGACCCGUGCCUUCCUUGGCGCGUGGGGGCGCGUGCUACAGUAAAAAUUAUUUUAAAAAUAUGGCGACGUCCGUGACGUCGAGUAGAUUGGGACUCCGAUUUGCGGAUCUUCCGAAAUUGGAGUUGUAAGUCCAUAAUAUAGAAUGUUAACCGUCACCUAGUUUUGUUAAUUGACGGAGAUCCGACCGUUGGAUGGUAAUGAAAUUUUAGGAGGUUAUCCUAGAGAUAUAUUGUGGACCUCUGGAAGUUAUGGAUUUAAAAUCCGAGUGGUGGAUCUUCCGGAUCGAUCUACGUAGUGACGUAUUUUAUAUAAGUUAUAUAUUCUAUCACUAUGAAUUCUGAGGUUGGAAUUGAUUAUUGUUUUAGGCGCCGAUCGUCAUGACGCCUUGGCGUAUUGUGCUAGGGAGUUGUAGGGCGAACUCCAGGUGAGUGGGCAGUUUUGUUUUCCGUAUAUAUAUAUACUUGACGUUUUCCCAGAAAUUGAAAUUUAAUGAAAGUAUGCUUUAAAUGCAAUGUAUAAAAUUAUAUGAAAAGUAUAUAGAAAUGUGAAUCGAAAUGCCAUGCAUGAAAUGAUAUGAAAAGUAUGAAUUGAGAUAUGAUGCAUAUGUAUGAAUUGGUGCUGUGGACGCACAGGUGAGUAUAAGGUGAGUAUAUUACUGCUAUGAUGAUGUUGAGAUAUAUUGAGCUCAUAACCUGCACCUUGGUAUUAGUGCUUAUUAUUAUUCACCGCAUCGCAUGCUCACCUUGGAUCCAAGUAGAUGCUAGUCGUACAGACCACCGGGGGUGGUUCCGACAUGCCAGUCGUAUAGACCAUUAGAGGGGUUCCGACUGGUAGGUGACCUUAGAUUAUGUGCACAGAUGAUUGAUGAGAGAAGCACUAGAGCAUAUUAUUCUACCAUUAAGUCGUACAGAUUACAUUAGGUAAUUCCGACUUAUGUGCAGUAUAGUGCCGUACAGGUCAUACUAGGUGACUCCGGCAUGGCCGUAUAGGUCACAGUUGGUAUCUCCGGCUAGAUGAUAUUUUGAGCUCUAGGUUCAACCGUACAGGGCCAUUAGAGGGCCUCCGGUUGAUUACUUUCUUGCACCUGAUAUGAUUAUUGUUGAUGCAUCCAUACUUAACUGUUGAAUUAGACAUGGCAUGGCAUGAUUGAUAAAGAAAAAUGUUGAGAUAGUAAAAAUGAAGUUUUGAGAAUAUAUAUGUAUAUUUAUAUUUUACAUUUCUGGGAAAGUAUACAAGUUUUACGGAGAGGGGUUACAACGUUUUGAGAAAUGUUUGGA